AACAAACCAAAUUUAGCGUAAUGAAAACACAAAAAGUAGCAAACUUUACAGUUGAAAUACAAAACAAAUUUGAGAUUCUGAAACCUUUGAAUGAAGACCAGUGCCAGUUUCUUUAAAUCGCAAGAAGGAUUCUUCAGAAAUUAGUUUUUUCAAUUCCAUCUCACAAUUCAGCUCGCCAUUGCUUUGCUGUCUACCAUUACCUCCCACAUUCAUGCUGGACGGUCCAUUGUCAUUUUCGUUAGCCUCAUUAAUGCUACCAACAAGGUUAGGCCUGUUCUCCCUCUUCUUCAAAAAUUUAAAUUGCUUCCCAAGACCUUUGACAGCAUGUUCAGUCUUAAUAUCAUCCCCAGACCUCGUUGACUUGGUAUCUGUUGGAGUUUCCUGCUUUUGUAGAUGCUGCACCCAACAAGAACCAAGUUCCCAUCUAAUAGAUCUUUCUGAAGCAGUUGGCUCCAGCUCUAACUUUGCUAAACUCUGUUUAAUAACUCUUCUUACAAGACUUCUAAAAGCUUCUGAAUUAUCCAAAUUGCACAGAGGUGACUGGUCUCCUCUAGCCGAUUCAGCACUGAAAGACUUCUGAAGCACAAGCCUUAAGCUGCAAUAAAUAGUUUACCCUGUCAGAACAACUUACAUGGAGAAAGACAUAAGAUUAUAUGAAACAAAGGCAGAAUCCACCAAAGAAGGCCUAAAUACUUUCUGAAAUAGCACAAUCUAAAAAGCUGAUGACCUAUUUCAGCAACUGAGCAUGCACUGUAAUUAUACUUUCCUUUAUCCUUUAUUUGAACAUCAUCAACGAUGUCUGUUGGUUAUUUUGUUAAUAUAACAAUUACAAACCAAUGUCAGGGCACAUAACUAUAAACACUCAUCCAUUAUUGUGAAAGCCAUGACUUAAUGUUUCCUGCAACCACUCGUUAUUAUUUAGGUGGUCUACAACUAUGCAGAGGUGAAGCAUCCCCAUACAGUGAAGGAUCUCACACAUAUUUUAAUAGAGGAAAAGCCAUUUUCUGGUCGACAGGAUGCUGAAAGAGGAGUAUAUAUCCCUAACUAGAUAUCAGCUUUCUUUUCUUUGGCCUAUUCAUAAACUUAACACUUGAAGAAAACCUGGUUUAGAAAUCUGACAUCAACUCCCCUUAAGAGUUCAGACAUCUACUGAUUAGAUCCCAUCUAAACAGAAAGAAAAAGGAGCAGGUGCUAUCCUUUCUUAAGAAUCCCCAACACCACCAUUUCAAUCCUGUUCUAUCUGGUAAAAAUAAAGAGAAUAACAAUGCUCUGCAUCAUGAAUUCAACUGUGAUAGACACUAAGCAAAGAAGCUCAUACCAAUUAGUAUGUCUAAGAUAUCUUGCAGAAUAGCUUAAAACUGUUAGUGGUUGAAAGAUAAUUUUUCAUAUCUUACAGCCAUUCUCCAUCUGUAGAUUUCCUAGUCUUUGUGUGCUAAGAGAAAUCGACAGAGGAAGCAUUGUGUUACAAUUUCAAACCUGUUAAUAUUAAGAGAAUUAGCUCCUCCAUCAGGUUGAUCUUCAAUUUCAAUAUCUUGUGUGCCAAACUUCUCCUUCACAUCACCAACAACCUUUACUACAGCGGUGUAUCCACAGUGUCUUACAAUGACAGUACCCAAUGAGGAGGAUUCCUGCCAAAAACUAUAUUGUUUCAGUUCUCUUUAUCACAAAAUCUUUGAAACUAAAAUAAAAGAAACGGAAAAAGAAAAGGAAGAUAAAUCUAGAUAUUUUGAGAAAAAUAAAUCUGGAUAAUUCAAGAAAGUUUUAUUUCAAGAUCUACCAUGCUGAAAACUUUAGCAAUUGCACCACUAGUUGAUAUAAUACAAGCAUGCCCAACCAAGGUUAAUAGGCUUCCCCAAGACAUUAAGCUGGAGCAAACUACGAGCAGAAAAUCAGAGGGAUAUGGAUAAAAUCAGUAGAAAGACCUGCUAUCAAGUGAUUUCAACAGAAUAGGGAGUCACCAAACAGAAAGGCAACAUAAGAUUCAUGAAGCUAAACCAGAUAUUUAAGGUUAGUAACGAGUAGUGAUUCUCAGGAAAGAACCUAAAAUUGACUUUCUUGUGCAUUCAUAAAUGUGUAGAAAGAGAGAGUGAAGAGGAUGGGUAUUUUAGGCCAUCAUCAAAUGCCAGAUAUCAGAUAAAGAGGGAAACAUCUUAAUCCGACUGAAAAAUCACUCCCUGACAAAGGUAGAGCUAUAUUAUUCCGCCCACACAAGUAAUUUCGGCUUUGAUGAAUGUCUUUUAUGUGUGUGUUCUGUGAACAUAAGCAUAAAAAGUAAAGGAGAAAUCGACUUACGUGAACAACUACACUCUCAUCUGCAGUAACACCUUUUAGUAAAUUCCUUUGAGCAACUUAUGCAGCAGACAUACCAGAUGACUGAUUUCCUUUAAUAGUAACCUCAGACAUCAAGCUUGCAUCUACUGUAUCAUGUUUUACUGUAAUGGACAAGUCUCCCACAAGAUCUUCAUGCAAGAUUGCCCCCUUUUGGACAUUGAUUGUAUCUUGAGUGUGUAAAUUUGAAUCAAUGAGACGGCAUAUUGCUCCAACAGCUUUCAAAAUUGAGACAUCAACAAAUUGCUUAUUGUUGAAAAUAAAGAUUUAAAGUUAGGAUUUAUUUGUAAUCUAGGCUAUUUUAGGAAUAAUUUAAAUUAUAAUGGGAAGAUUCAUUAGGAUUCUUUCCAGAUUUUAUUUCUUAUUAUUUAGGAAAGGAUAGAUGUAGUCUCCUAUUUUCUCUCCUAUUUUGCUGUAUAUAUUCCCUGUACAUACUGUUCUGGAAAGUAAGAAAAAGAGGAACCAAUUCACGGUUUUCUUCAUGGUAUCAGAGCUAGGCUCUAAACCCUAGUUCUCCUAUCAGCCGCCAUUUCCUUCUUCUCCUCUACCACCUCUUUUCAACAGUAUCCACCUUCCUUCCUCUCCCAUCAGUUGUAUUCUCUGUGGCAAAAUAUGGGAUGGCUUCUUCAUCAACCUCCGUUACAAUAUCACAGUCUAAAGGAAACAUGGAGACUGCAACUCAUGGUGGAAUUGAUUCUUCACCAAUCUUAAUUACCAGCCAUAAAUUGAACGGCCACAAUUAUCUCUAGUGGUCACAAUCUGUCAUGAUGUUCAUCUGUGGCAAGGGUAAGGAUGAUUAUCUCACGGGUGAAGCGGCCAUGCCAGAGGUGUCAGAUCCUAGUUUCAAAAGGUGGAAGUCAGAAAACAACAUGAUCAUGUCAUGGCUUAUCAAUUCCAUGAACAAUGAUAUUGGUGAGAAUUUUCUUCUGUUUGGGACUGCAAAGGACAUAUGGGAUGCUGCAAAGGAAACCUAUUCUAGCUCUGAGAACACAUCAGAGUUAUUCCAGAUUGAAACCAUCCUCCAUGACUUCCGCCAAGGAGAACAAUCUGUCACUCAGUACUUUAAUACUCUGACUAGGCAUUGGCAACACCUUGAUCUAUUUGAAACAUACCCUUGGAAGUGCACCGACGAUACAACCUUGUACAAGAAGAUUGUGGAACAGAAGAGAACAUUUAAAUUUCUCCUUGGACUCAAUAAAGAUCUUGAUCAGGUUAGGAGCCGUGUACUCGGGACAAAGCCUUUACCGCGCCCUCGUGAAGCCUUUUCUGAAGUUAGGCGUGAAGAAAGUAGGAAAAAGGAGAUGAUGGGGUCAUCAGAACCAACACUGGACGCCUCUGCACUUGCUGCCCGUGCAUCCAACUCUGUAGGGGUUAGUGAAAAUCGUACAAAGAAAGAAAGACCAUGGUGCGAUCACUGUCGUAAGGCAGGCCACUAUAAGGAGAGUUGCUGGAAAAUUUAUGGCAAACCUGCUGAUUGGAAACCUCGUUCCAAAGGUGACCGUGAAUCUCGUGCUCAUACAGCAUCCACCACGGACAAUCAGGCCCUACCCGAGCCAAAUCCAUUCAGCAAGGAGCAAAUGGAGAUUCUUCAAAAGCUUUUCGAUCAAGCCACUUUGAACUCCAAUGCAGGGACAAGUCUAGUGGCUCAGAAAGAGACUCAUUCAGCAUUUGCAGCCACUAAUGGAGCAAGCAAACCCUGGAUAAUUGACAUUGGUGCUUCUGAUCACAUGACUGGAGAUGCCUCAAUGUUGCAGGAUUAUAAAGCUAGCAUCAACAGCACUUCAGUCCGGAUCGCAGAUGGCUCUCACACAAAAAUAGCAGGGACAGGUUCCAUCAGACUCACUAAGGAGUUAUACCUUAAUUCUGUACUUUAUGUGCCUAAUUUGGCUUGCAAUUUACUUUCAAUCAGUAAAUUCACUCGUGAUCAGAAUUGUGUAACUAAAUUCUAUCCAAAUAUGUGUGUUUUUCAGGACUUGGAUUCGGGGAAGACGAUUGGCAGUGCUGAGCUAUGUUCUGGACUCUAUCUACUCAAAAGCAAUCAAUCCUCCUUCAUACAAGAUUCGAGAGCAAACUAUGCCAAGUCCAAUAGUCUGUCAACUAGUUAUCCUCAUUCUAUUGUUAGUCCAAAUGUCAAUAACGAUAGUGAAAUUGUUCUGUUACACUAUCGAUUAGGUCAUCCUAGUUUCAUGUAUCUCGCAAAAUUUUUUCCCAAUCUAUUCAUUAAUAAAAACCCUUUAUCCUUUCAUUGUGAAAUUUGUCAAUUUGCAAAACAUACUCGAAAUGUUUAUUCAAGUGUUAAGUAUAAGCCUUCUCGUCCAUUUGCUUUAAUUCACAGUGAUGUGUGGGGUCCCUCAAGAAUUAAAAAUGUUUCUAGGGCUCACUAGUUUUUGUCAUUUGUAGAUGAUCAUACUCGUCUCACUUGGGUGUUUCUCAUGAAAAAUAAAUCUGAAGUUAGUCAAAUCUUCCAAAACUUUAACGCCAUGAUUCAAACCCAAUUCAAUACCAAAAUCCAAGUCCUUAAAACCGACAACGUCAAGGAAUAUUUCAAAGACUCCCUCAGGUCAUAUCUUCUCCAUCAAGGCAUUCUUCACAUCAGUUCUUGUGUUGACACCCCGCAACAAAAUGGGGUCGCUGAAUGCAAAAACAGACACCUUCUUGAAGUGGCUCGCUGUCUUUUGUUCUCGUCUCAUGUUCCUAAUUUUUUCUGGGGUGAAGCUGUUCUCACUGCAGCCUACUUAAUCAACCGAAUGCCUUCUAGAGUCUUGGGGUUUCAUUGCCUAAGAAAAGUUCUUCUCAAUUUCUUUCCACACACUAGGAUUGUUUCAGCAGAUUUACCACAAAAAAUAUUCGGUUGCACAGCAUAUGUCCAUGUUCACUCUCAACACAGGACCAAACUUGAUCCCCGAUCUCUCAAGUGUAUAUUUUUGGGCUAUUCUCCACUUAAAAAAGGAUACAAAUGCUAUUCUCCUCACACCAGGAAAAUAUACAUUUGCAGAGAUGUAACAUUUGUUGAAAACCUGCCUUUCUAUUCCAAAACUGAUGUUCAGGGAGAGAGUACGAGCGAACAUCAGCCUUGGGAAUCUUCUUGGCAAUCUUGGCUGGAAACCCCUCAUGAAAACCCUCAUAACUCAACCACCACACAUGAUCAAUCUAUCCAACAGCCACAAUCAGCAAUCCUUCCAACAUCUUCACAGCUUUUUGAGUCAUCUGAGUCCUCCCAACCACAAUCAACCGAGUCACCCCGUCAUCCAUCAGCUCAUCAACUACAGCCUCUAAUCUCACCUAUUCCACAGCUUGCUGUUGAUAAUCUCAAUGUUUAUAGGAGGAGAAGAACUGGAGAGCAGAUAGAGCACGGAACUCAGCCAUAUGUCCAAGAAACUGAACCAAAUCCAAGCUCUUGUGAAGACAACACAGGUAUGGAUAGUCUUGCCUCGGUUGAGUUCAUGGUUCCAAGUGUUGAUAAUUCUAAUAAAUCAAUUGCAGAAAGAAAAGGGGUUCGAAGUUGCACCACUCAUCCAAUUGCCAAAUAUGUCUCAUAUGAUGGUUUGUCCUCAUCAUACCAAGCCUUUGUUUCUUCUUUAGAUAAUCUACAUGUUCCCAACAAUAUACAAGAGGCUCUCGGUCAUCCUGAGUGGAAGAGAGCUGUUCAUGAAGAAAUAAAUGCUCUUGAGAAAAAUGAUACAUGGGUUAUAACAGAUCUUCCUGCAGGGAAACGACCAGUUGGAUGUAAGUGGAUUUUUACUGUUAAAUACAAGGCAGAUGGAAGUGUUGAGAGGCUCAAAGCUCGUCUUGUAGCUAAAGGGUUCACACAGUCAUAUGGGAUUGAUUAUCUAGAAACCUUUGCUCCGGUUGCGAAGCUCAACACCAUCAGAAUCUUGCUCUCCUUAACAGUAAAUCUAGAUUGGUACUUAUACCAACUAGAUAUAAAAAAUGCGUUUCUCAAUGGCGAUCUUGAAGAAGAAGUGUUUAUGGAAGUUCCCCAGGGUCUUGAUCUGAAUCUUACUGGAAAUAAAGUGUGCAAGCUCAAGAAAUCUUGUAUGGGCUUAAGCAAUCCCCUCGAGCAUGGUUUGAUAGAUUUGCGAAGGCAGUUGUGAGACUUGGUUACACUCAGUGUCAGGCAGAUCACACUCUAUUCCUCCGAACAUCACAAGCAAAGAAGAUCUCUCUCCUAAUCGUAUAUGUUGAUGACAUCAUUCUCUCAGGAAAUGAUGAGGAAGAACUGCAGAAGUUGAAGAAACAGCUAGCUCAGGAAUUCGAAGUUAAAGAUCUAGGGAAUCUGAAAUAUUUUCUUGGGAUGGAGGUGGCAAGAUCUAGAAAGGGAAUUGUUGUCUCCCAGAGGAAAUACACCCUGGACCUACUAAAGGAGACUGGUAUGAUUGGGUGCAAACCAGUAGAUACUCCUAUGGAUCCCUACAAGAAACUAGGCACAGUUGAGAAUAGUGUUCCAGUCAAUAGGGGGAGAUAUCAAAGGCUGGUUGGUCGUUUAAUCUAUCUCUCACAUACCCGUCCGGACAUAGGCUUUGCUGUUAAUGCUGUGAGCCAAUUCAUGCACAAUCCUACAGAGGAACACAUGGAUACAGUCUUUAGAAUUCUGAAGUAUCUGAAGAUGACACCUGGAAAAGGAUUGUUUUUCAAGAAAUCAGAAUAUAGGAAUAUUGAGAUCUACUCCGAUGCAGACUGGGCUGGAGACGUCACAAAUAGAAGAUCAACAUUUGCUUACUGUUCCUAUGUCUGGGGAAAUCUAGUAACCUGGAGGAGUAAGAAACAAUCUGUUGUAGCUAGGAGUAGUACAGAAGCAGAGUUCAGAGCUUUGGCAAAUGGAAUCUGUGAAGGAAUUUGGAUAAAGCGUGUACUCAAGGAACUCGGUGUGUGCAGCCCUUCAUCCAUUCUAAUGAGAUGUGACAAUCAAGCAGCAAUCAGCAUCGCUAAAAACCCAGUGCAUCAUGAUCGAACCAAACAUGUCGAGAUUGAUAGGCACUUCAUCUCAGAGAAGGUCACUAGUGGAAGUGUGGAAUUAAAGUACAUUCCAACUAGACAACAAAUUGCAGACAUCCUUACUAAAGCACUGCCAAGACCUAACUUUGAAGACUUAAGUAACAAGCUGGGUUUGUAUGAUAUACACACACCAGCUUGAGGGGGAGUGUUGAAAAUAAAGAUUCAAAGUUAGGAUUUAUUUGUAAUCUAGGCUAUUUUAGGAAUAAGUUAAAUUAUAAUGGGAAGAUUCAUUAGGAUUCUUUCCAGAUUUUGUUUCUUAUUAUUUAGGAAAUGAUAGAUGUAGUCUCCUAUUUUCUCUCCUAUUUUGCUGUAUAUAUUCCCUGUACAUACUGUUCUGGAAAGUAAGAAAAAGAGGAACCAAUUCACGGUUUUCUUCACUUAUGAAGCAAAAAGGCCUUCCGAUCUCUAACCACCCUCUCCUCUUUAGUUUUGCAAGAAAGCCUAGCCAGUAUAGCAAAUUCCGUCACCCAUGGUCGUAAAUCAUGUUCUCCAUCUCUUCCCUGGCCUCCGCCAUUGCCACCCCAAUUCUCAUCUUCUGCCGGUAGGCAUGGGAAAUUUGAUGGAGACUCAGCAACAGAUGGAGGUACAAGCCAUGUAUUAGCUCGAAAUCCAUAGGGAAGAUUACCAAACUGAAGAAGGAUAUUGAAUAUACUAUAUCAGUAAAAUCAAGUUAAAAUCACAUUUGAAUUGGUAAUCAACUAUGUCAGCAUAGAAAUUGUUACCUUAUUAUGUUCAACAAAAGCUUUCAUUAGGGAUUCAUAUGCCUGCAUCACGCAUAAUGACCAUAAUUAUUAACAAAACAAUUGAUGGGUAAGCUAAUUGAAUUUACAAAGGAAAAAAAGAUGCAUUCAGAUAAAAAAGAAAAAGAAAAUCUGUAGAUUCAACUAUUGAGUACCCACAUUGGCAAAAGCUCGACUGAGAUUUUGCAGAAGAUCCACCAGGGAGUUGCUUUGGAAACCUGCUUUCCCAAAGUAUAGAACCCUUUUACUGAUGCAACUACUUGUAUAAGCUUUCCAUUGCAGAUUUUUAUCUGUGAAAAUAAUUCAUGCAUUCUUAUUAAUUAGCAGACAAUGAUUAUUAAAUCUUUAACACUCAUUGGCCAAUUCAUCAGCAAAAAUAAUGAGUUGAAUAACUCUACAAUUAAUUAGUCCUUAAACAACAAACAACAAUAAUCAGAACUUUAUAUUAAAUGGCACCUGAAUUUCAAAAUAAUCACGGUCGCGCUUCUCUCCUUCUUUGCGUUCACAUUUUCUCAAAUCUUCAAAAUCAAAAUUAUUAAAAAUUAAAAUCAAUAAAAAAAUUUCAUAUUCAAAUAAAUCAUAUAUAUUUAUUUCAUUUUCCUCUUUUUUUUUUUUUAAUCGACCAUGUAAAAAACGAAGACAAAUAAAUAAUUGGACAUUAGGCUUACUCAAGAUGGGGGGAGCGAGGUGAGAGAAAGAGAAGAAGUCAGAAAACUCGGAGGGUUUCGGCGCCGGGUGAAUGACCGCCAUGUCCAGACUCAGAGAAACCGCCGAUGAAACUGGCGAUGACGUGGCGCGGGGCCCGCUUCGGUUAUCUGCUGCUGCUGUUGCUGCUCCAUCAGACAGAGCGGCAAAGUUUGGUGAACGCGGGUGGGGCCUACUGCCGUUCUUUUUGGCACAUGACUCUGACGGUGGCGGCAAUCGGGAGUUUCUGGACUUGGAGAACCAUGUGGUGCACGCGACGACGUCGAGAAGCUGCCGCACGUGUGCCACGGCCUGAGAUUCCUCGGUGUAUUCCUCUGCGAAGGACAGUGCCAAAAAUGUAAAUAACAAGGAAUUGCCGGGCAAAGUUUUUUUUCUUUUAUUAUUUUAGUUCUUUCUAUUAAAUAUUAACUUAAUUAUAAGUAGAAAAUAAUUAUAGCACUAAACUAUUAUUUUCUUUUAUUAUCUUAGCACUAAACUAUUCGUCAAACUUAUUUUUGAAAAUAAUUUUUUUAUAAUUAAAAUACUUCUAGAUUAAAUUUUAAUUAUAAGCACUAAAAAAUGAGAAAAAAAAAUAAAAUUUUCACUCUUUAAACAAGCCUUUACAUAUAAUUUUGUUAAACUCUAAUCAUAUUAAUUAUUCAUGAUAAAGUUACUAAUUCUAAAAUAAUACACUUCUGUAAACCUUCUUGCUCUGUUUACAUGUCUGCCAACUAAUUUUUUUAAUAGAUUAAAAUUUACGGUUGGUUGAAAAUUAGGGAAAUUUACACCAAUAACUAUAAAAGUUUUGACUUUUUCCAUCUUAACCCCCCAAACAAAUUUCUAUCAACAAUAGCCAUAAAAGAACCUUUGAGACCAAAAUACCUCUUUCUCUCAUUUCUCCCCCAACACUCUCUUUCACCCAUCUCUCCCAAACCGAAGAAACUCUCAUCAUCGGUGGCAACAUCAGCCCUCCUCGGCAGCGGCUCCAUCCCUCAUCGGUGUCCGAUCUACCAUCUACAGCCUUCAACAAAACCUAGGUUAGCCAUUUUACUUAUUUUCAUUAAUUUAAAAUGAAAUUUCAUAAUCUAUAUAAUUUAAAAAAAAAAAGAGAGAUAAUAAAAUAUAUAUACCUCGUGAGAGAGAGAAUAAUUUGUGAGGUGGCAAGUUUCUACAUUGGAAGCCAACAAUUUUUUCACAUCAAGUAUCUUGUCAGUGGAGAUGCCCUUUGAGCAAAUUUUAAUUAAAAAAAAAAAGAUGAUUAAUUAAUAAUUCAUUUAUAUUUAUAAAGUUUUAAAAAAUAAUAUGCUAAUCAUAGCUGGGGAGGGCAAAACAAGAAAGUAUUAAUGAUAAGUAUAAAUGUAUACCUUGAGAACAACUUGUGAUUCAUAUGGGGUGAUGAUUGCGAUAUCAAGAACACUGGGUACUACUGCACAACAAAAAAAUAUCAAUGAACAUAACGAAGCUAUGGAGCAUAAGCACAAUCAAACAUGCAGGCUAAAAAUAAUUGAAUAAAUAUAUGUAAUAUGCAGGCUAAAAAUAAUUGAUGGUGUUGUGGAAGUUUGAAUUCAUAGAUUUACAGCUCGGUCUAAAUGUUCAUUAAGUAUAAUUUAAAAAUCAGCAUUGUAUCUAUUGUUACUAAUGUUUGAAUAAAUAUAUGUAUCCUUUUAUCAAAAAUGGAUUAUAAAGAGCUUUGAUGGAGAUUGUUAGGGAGAAACUCUUGUGGAGCCAACACGCGAGGAUCCAAUGGAUCGCACAGCGGCAUCAACGAAUUUUUCAUUUAAAAAAUAUAUAAAAUUACAUUAUUUUAAUUUAUAAAUCCCAUCAGACCUGCCAAAUUAAUGUGCAGGCGCGCGCCUCCUCAACCUUUUCUCGGAUUGUUGGGGACUGCAGACUGCAGCUCACGGUUGAAUUUUCCCCGUAGCGUUCUUGACGUACGCCAAUAUUUUAAUCAGCUUUAACUUUAAGCCUCUGUUUUAUAAAAAUUAUUUCACCAGCAGAUUACAUGUAUUUUGGCAAGUUUACAUUGUGAAAGAAAGAUGUAUUCAAAAGGCACAAAUUGUUUAUUCGUUAUGGUCGUGAUUUGGUGGGCGAAUCUACUGUAAAGCCUUGUAUUCAUUUACCUGAUUACGGUCAUCAGUAUCUUUUACUUAUUCGUUCACUUUUCCUUUCGUUAGUUAUUGCAGAAACGCGUUUGAGUAGCUAUUAAAAUUAUGGUGAUCACGUGAGCUGCGGAAAAAAAAAAAAUGGUCGUGGCAAUGAACAAGUACAAAGAAAAGAAAUGGGAUUUGAAAACAACUCUCACUAUCCGGCUGAGACGCCGCAAUUUCCUUAUGCAGUAAAUGUUGUUGUACGUUCACAAGUGAAGUGUGAAGCUAACAUUUCACUUUGCCAAUAGCCAUGCACGUCAAACUAACCAAUUAAUUUGCAUCUUCAGUUAUUUCUUUGGUCGGUACUAAAGUCAAACUUAUUUUACCACAAUAUUCAAGUCAAUAUUUCAACAUUCUUUUCUCUCUUUCAUCUGGUCAAAUAUUUUAAUUCACUCGUAUCUUGCUAAAGCAGAUGUAAUAUUCUCACUUACUUUGUUUAAAACUAGCUAGAUAUACGAUAGCAACUUAUUUGAAUGAUGUGCUAGAAAUCCAUCCAAGUGAAACUUAGGGUGCGUUUGGGAUUGAGGUUGGGCAGCUGUAGCUUAAAAGCUACAGCACUAAAGUGUUUGGUAAACACUAGCUGUUGUAGCUUUUAACCUAUGUUGAUAUAAUUUUUCACUUGUAUAAUAUAAAAUUUAUUAUAUCUUUAAUAAUUUUGAUAAAAUUAUUAUUUAAAAUUUAUAUUUACUAUAUAUUAUUAACUUUUAUUUCAUAAUUACAGCUUUUUUUUCACAGCAGCUGUAGCUUAAAAGCUAUAACACCUCAAUCCCAAACACACCCUUAAAGGAGACAAUCCAACAUGCAGGCUCUAAAACUAAUUUGUGGUAUGUUGGAAGUUUGAAUUUAUAGAUUUAAAGCUCAGUCCAAAGAUUUAAUAAUAUUAGGUGUAAUUUGAAGAUCAGUAAUAUUUCUAUUUUUAUCUAUAUUUUAUUAAAAGUGGAUUAUAAAGAGGCCAGAUGAGGAUUGUUGAGGACUGCAGGCCGCAGGCCACGACAAGAGCCUGACCGCUCAAUGCCUCUUUACAAAAACUUUUUCUGUUCACGAAAAACGUUUCUGAAAAUGUCUAGCCAAAAGCUAAAGGCAUUUCCAUUUCAUUAUUUUUCGUUUUCAGAAACAGAAAACACUUAUAAAGCCAAAUUACAUGGUAACUCAAGAUGUCACGUGAUUUGCACAUGAUGCAUUUAAGUGAGCUUGAUCAAAAAUUAAAAUUUUUUUUUUUCUAAAGGAAAGGGUGAGUAAAGACAACUUAUUUUUUAACCUCUUAUUCCAAAUUCAGACUCGAAUAGUCAACUAAGUAAAAAUGCUUUCAAAUACUUGACCAUGUCUUUUUGGGCAAAUAGAACAAAUUGAGAAAUCACACUUGAUUGUGAAGGAAUUAGUUCUGCCAUCUCAACUGAAAACUUGUUUAUUUGCAUUGCAACUGGUUUUGUUUAAUUUUUAUGGGGUUUUUGAUGUUUCCAUCACUUGAUGUUCAAUUGCAAUUGUAUGUUACCUUAACAAGCAUUUGGUGAUUUUCCAGUAGCUAAUUUCUUUACACCAACAUUUUACUCAACUAAACUUUAAGCCUUUAUUUUAUCAAACUAAUUCACCAGUAGAUAACAUGUAUUUUUUGGCAAGAGUUUACAUUGCGAAAGAAAGAUAAGCCUAAGUUCACUCGUAUCGUGCUAAAGCAGAUGCAUUAUUAUUGGACGAAAAAGCACAAUUGGUGGUCUAAUCUACUGUAAAGUCUUGUAUUUAUUUGCAUAAUUACGGCCAUCAGUAUCUUUUACUGCAUUCACUUCUUUUUUUUUCUUUAAUUAUCAAGGAAACGCGGUUUAAGUAAUUAUCAAAAUUAUGUUAAAUAUUUGUGAGCCCAUUAUAGGACAGAGUGUGAGUCCCCACUAACAAAUAAUGGGACUGAUAUACAAAAUAGCGACCCUCAAAAUCCAGCUGAGAUGUCGCAAUUUCCUUAUGCUACAAAUGUUGACACUGGACUGGUAAAAGUGUGUGGCUAACAUUUCACUUUGCCAAAGGCCAGGCCCGUGAAAUCAACCAUUUUGCAUCUUCAAUUAUUUCACAAGCAGAUAACAUGUAUCAACAGGUAAUAUUCUCUCACUUACUUUUUUCAAUCAAUGCAUGUUUUCUCAUUGACAGGGCACGUGAAAAUGCGCAAAAUUUUCAUUCUGCACAAAAUUUCCAUCGUAUAUAUAAGUCAUAUAUUUGUUAGAGAACCAGAAAAAAAUCAAGAGAGCAACAAUUGACAGGUAAAUCUUGUGAGUGUUUCUCUCGCAGUUAAUAUUAAUAAUGAAAAUGCUUUUGAUGAAGUUGUCAUUGUGGAUUGGCAUAGCUUUGAUUCAGUUACAUGGAUACAAAGCAUGCUUGGAAACAGAGAGGAUUGCUUUGUUGGAAAUCAAGAGCUUCUUCGCAUCAGCCAGUGAUGUUGGAUAUGAUGACGAAGUUCUUUCUUCAUGAUUUGAUGAUGAUGGAAUGUCGUCUGAUUGUUGUAACGAUUGGGAGAGAAUUAAGUGCAACGCCACCACCCGACGGGUGACGCAACUCUCACUCAAUCAGAAAACAAAAAUCAACUGCUCUGAUUAUAACUCUUUUAUUCUUAUGAAGUUUCUCUUCUGAAUAUGUCAUUGUUUCACCCUUUCGAAGAAUUGCAGUGCCUUGACUUAUCUGAUAAUUGGUUUAAAGGCUUCUAUGAGAAUAAAGGUACUGUUGAUGCAAGAAAUCCGGAUAAGUUGGUCAGAUCUCAGAUCACUACAUCAUCAUUAAAUUUGUUUGGUGGGAAGCUGAUGAUUAGUUAGCACCAUGAGCAGAUUUUCUAUGAGCAGAUGUUCUGUGAGCAGACAACCCAUGAGCAGAUAAUCCAUAAGCAGACGAUCCAUGAGCAGAGAACCCAUGAGCAGACAUCCCAUGACCAGACAAUCCACGAGCAGACAAUCCAUGAGCAGAGAACCCAUGAGCAGACAUCCCAUGAGCAAAUAACCCAUGAGCAGACAAUUCAUGAGCAGAUAACCUGUGAGCCUGUGAACACAACCAACGGUUAGGAGGUGCCGGAAGUUUUUCCGGCGAGAACCCUCCGACGCUCAAGUCAGCGAUUCGGGUCUUACUUGGAAAAACCCAUACCACAAUUCAUGUGGCUUAAUUAUGAUUGCUUUAAACAAAAAGCUUUUAAGUAAAUUUAAAGGAAAAAAAUUCAAAAUAAUCAAUCUUAAAGAAAUCACAGGCGAAAGAGAAAUUUCUCUGUGGUAGAGAGAGAAAAAGGUCCAAUGGGUUCAGUUGCUUAGAGAGAGAGAGAGAGCUCGAAGAAUCCCUCAUUUCCUUUCCCUUCAUAGGGUUUUAUAGGAAACUAUAGCGGUUUUCAUCCUCUCCCCUAGAAUUCUUAAGAAAACUACUAAUUUUCAGCCCACUAAGAAUAUGGUCCCUAAUAUUUCGGAGAAAAUGUUUUGACUGAAUCGUGCUUCCUGGUAACUUCCUGGUCGAGGUGACCAAUAACAUCCUGGUCGAGGUGACCUGCUUGAGGUGACCAAUAACCUCCUGGUCGAGGUGAUGUGCUCGAGGUCACCACAUAUUAUUCUAGUUGAGGUGACCAAUAACAUCAUGGUCGAGAUGAUCUACUCGAGGUGACCAAUAACCUCCUGGUCGAUGUGAUGUGCUCGAGGUCACCACAUAUUAUUCUGGUCGAGGUGACCAAUAACAUCCUGGUCGAGGUCACCAAAUAACAUCCUGGUCGAGGUGACCUGCUCAAGGUGACCAACAACCUCCUGGUCGAGGUGAUGUGCUCGAGGUCACCACAUAUUAUUCUGGUCGAGGUGACCAAUAACAUCAUGGUCGAGAUGAUCUGCUCGAGGUGACCAAUAACCUCCUGGUCGAGGUGAUGUGCUCGAGGUCACCACAUAUUAUUCUGGUCGAGGUGACCAAUAACAUCCUGGUCGAGGUGAUCUGCUCGAGGUCACCAAAUAACAUCCUGGGCGAGGUGAUCUGCUCAACCAUUUGCUCAUUUUUACUUUAGAGGACAACAUGAUAAUGUAUGAGCAAACACCUUUAUCUUGGUCACCAUAUUUCAUUCCCUAAACACCAGUCCCCCAGUUUUUAGUGUUGAGAGUGAAACGAAUUAAGACUGGAAACUUUGGUGGUUUGCUCGCUUUCGCUUGGUCGAGGAGAUCCUGGUAUGCUUGGCUUCCUGUCUCGCCAUAAAACAGGCUUUGAGACUUUGGAGCCUUUGCACGCCUUAGAAAUUUUUUGGUACUUUGGUGGUUUGCUCGCAUUCGCUUGGUUGAGCAGAUCCUGGCAUGCUUGGCUUCCUGUCUCGCCAUAAAACAGGCUUUGAGACUUUGGAGUCUUUGCACGCCUUAGAAACUUUUUGGAACUUUGGUGAUCUGCUCGCCUUCGCUUGGUCGAGCAGAUCCUGGCGUGCUUGGCUUCCUGUCUCGCCAUAAAACAGGCUUUGAGACUUUGGAGCCUUUGCACGCCUUAGAAACUUUUUGGAACUUUAGUGGUCUGCUCGCUUUUGCUUGGUCGAGCAGAUCCUAGCACGCUUGGCUUCUGGUCUCGCCAUAAACAGGCUUUGAGACUUAGUGAGCCUUUGCAGGCCUUAGGAUUUUUUACAACGCUUGGGAGUCUGCUCGCCUUCGCUUGGUCGAGCAGAUCCUGGCACCCUUGGCUUCUGGUCUCGCCAUAAACAGGCUUUGAGACUUUGGUGAGCCUUUGCAUGCUUUAGGAACUUUUACAACGCUUGGGAGUCUGCUCGCCUUCGCUUGGUCGAGCAGAUCCUGGCACGCUUGACGUCUGGUCUCGCCAUAAACAGGCUUUGAGACUUUGGUGAGCCUUUGCAUGCUUUAGGAAUUUUUACAACGCUUGGGAGUCUGCUCGCCUUCGCUUGGUCGAGCAGAUCCUGGCACGCUUGACGUCUGGUCUCGCCAUAAACAGGCUUUGACACUUUGGUGAGCCUUUGCAUGCUUUAGGAAUUUUUACAACGCUUGGGAGUCUGCUCACCUUCGCUUGGUCGAGCAGAUCCUGGCAUGCUUGGCUUCCUGUCUCGCCAUAAAACAGGCUUUGAGACUUUGGAGCCUUUGCACGCCUUAGAAACUUUUUGGAACUUUAGUGGUCUGCUCGCUUUUGCUUGGUCGAGCAGAUCCUAGCACGCUUGGCUUCUGGUCUCGCCAUAAACAGGCUUUGAGACUUAGUGAGCCUUUGCAGGCCUUAGGAUUUUUUACAACGCUUGGGAGUCUGCUCGCCUUCGCUUGGUCGAGCAGAUCCUGGCACGCUUGGCUUCUGGUCUCGCCAUAAACAGGCUUUGAGACUUUGGUGAGCCUUUGCAUGCCUUAGGAAUUUUUACAACGCUUGGGAGUCUGCUCGUCUUCGCUUGGUCGAGCAGAUCCUGGCACGCUUGGCUUUUGGUCUCGCCAUAAACAGGCUUUGAGACUUUGGUGAGCCUUUGCAUGCCUUAGGAAUUUUUACAACGCUUGGGAGUCUGCUCGCCUUCGCUUGGUCGAGCAGAUCCUGGCACACUUGGCUUCUGGUCUCGCCAUAAACAGGCUUUGAGACUUUGGUGAGCCUUUGCAUGCCUUAGGAAUUUUUACAACGCUUGGGAGUCUGCUCGCCUUCGCUUGGUCGAGCAGAUCCUGGCACGCUUGGCUUUUGGUCUCGCCAUAAACAGGCUUUGAGACUUUGGUGAGCCUUUGCAGGCCUUAGGAUUUUUUACAACGCUUGGGAGUCUGCUCGCCUUCGCUUGGUCGAGCAGAUCCUGGCACGCUUGACGUCUGGUCUCGCCAUAAACAGGCUUUGAGACUUUGGUGAGCCUUUGCAUGCUUUAGGAAUUUUUACAACGCUUGGGAGUCUGCUCACCUUCGCUUGGUCGAGCAGAUCCUGGCAUGCUUGGCUUCCUGUCUCGCCAUAAAACAGGCUUUGAGACUUUGGAGCCUUUGCACGCCUUAGAAACUUUUUGGAACUUUAGUGGUCUACUCGCUUUUGCUUGGUCGAGCAGAUCCUAGCACGCUUGGCUUCUGGUCUCGCCAUAAACAGGCUUUGAGACUUAGUGAGCCUUUGCAGGCCUUAGGAUUUUUUACAACGCUUGGGAGUCUGCUCGCCUUCGCUUGGUCGAGCAGAUCCUGGCACGAUUGGCUUCUGGUCUCGCCAUAAACAGGCUUUGAGACUUUGGUGAGCCUUUGCAUGCUUUAGGAAUUUUUACAAUGCUUGGGAGUCUGCUCGCCUUCGCUUGGUCGAGCAGAUCCUGGCACGCUUGACGUCUGGUUUCGCCAUAAACAGGCUUUGAGACUUUGGUGAGCCUUUGCAUGCUUUAGGAAUUUUUACAACGCUUGGGAGUCUGCUCACCUUCGCUUGGUCGAGCAGAUCCUGGCACGCUUGGCUUCUAGUCUCGCCAUAAACAGGCUUUGAGACUUUGGUGAGCCUUUGCAUGCCUUAGGAAUUUUUACAACGCUUGGGAGUCUGCUCGUCUUCGCUUGGUCGAGCAGAUCCUGGCACGCUUGGCUUUUGGUCUCGCCAUAAACAGGCUUUGAGACUUUGGUGAGCCUUUGCAUGCCUUAGGAAUUUUUACAACGCUUGGGAGUCUGCUCGCCUUCGCUUGGUCGAGCAGAUCCUGGCACGAUUGGCUUCUGGUCUCGCCAUAAACAGGCUUUGAGACUUUGGUGAGCCUUUGCAUGCUUUAGGAAUUUUUACAACGCUUGGGAGUCUGCUCGCCUUCGCUUGGUCGAGCAGAUCCUGGCACGCUUGACGUCUGGUCUCGCCAUAAACAGGCUUUGAGACUUUGGUGAGCCUUUGCAUGCUUUAGGAAUUUUUACAACGCUUGGGAGUCUGCUCACCUUCGCUUGGUCGAGCAGAUCCUGGCACGCUUGGCUUCUGGUCUCGCCAUAAACAGGCUUUGAGACUUUGGUGAGCCUUUGCAUGCCUUAGGAAUUUUUACAACGCUUGGGAGUCUACUCGUCUUCGCUUGGUCGAGCAGAUCCUGGCACGCUUGGCUUUUGGUCUCGCCAUAAACAGGCUUUGAGACUUUGGUGAGCCUUUGCAUGCCUUAGGAAUUUUUACAACGCUUGGGAGUCUGCUCGUCUUCGCUUGGUCGAGCAGAUCCUGGCACGCUUGACUUCUGGUCUCGCCAUAAACAGGCUUUGGGACUUUGGUGAGCCUUUGCAUGCCUUAGGAAUUUUUACAACGCUUGGGAGUUUGCUCGCAACGAGAAGCCAAUUUGUUGUCUCUAUCAAUUUUCAUCUAGUCGAAGCAAAUCAGAAUGUUACAGUGCAUAAAUGGAUGAUCUUGCUUAAACAAGGAAGAAACAACCUUAAAUGAGAGCACAUUGAAGGCACACGUUUGCAAAAAUCAGAACAUGUCAGAAGUUAAAUUUUUAUUUACAAGCAAUUUUUUCAUGAAAUUUUAAUUAUUUCUCUAAAUCCUGCUAUGUGAGAUGAGGAUACCUUAUAUUCAUUAAAUUGAUUGUGCUCAUAUUAGGGCUGACGUUAUAACUUAGUUAACUUGAUUUCUUGAAAGUUACUCAAUAUGAGAAUGAUUUAAGAAAAGAGAGCUAGGCUAGCGUUGAGAAACCAAUCAAAGUUUACUAAUAAGGCGUGCAAAGGCUCCAAAGUCUCAAAGCUUGUUUUAUGGCGAGACAAGAAGCCAAGCUUGUCAGGAUCUGCUCGACCAAGUGAAGGUGAGCAGACCACCAAAGUUCCAAAAAGUUUCGAAGGCAUGCAAAGGCUCACCAAGUCUCAAAACAUGUUUUAUGGCGAGACCAGAAGCCAAGCGUGCCAGGAUCUGCUCGACCAAGCGAUGGCGAGCAGAAUCCCAAGCAUACAAAAAUUUCGAAGGCAUGCAAAGACUCACCAAGUCUCAAAGCCUGUUUUAUGGCGAGACCAGAAGUCAAACGUGCCAGGAUCUGCUCGACCAAGCGAUGGUGAGCAGAAUCCCAGGUAUACAAAAAUUUCAAAGGCAUGCAAAGGCUCACCAAAUCUCAAAGCCUGUUUUAUGGCGAGACCAGAAGCCAAGCGUGCCAGGAUCUGCUCGACCAAGCAAAGGCGAGCAGAAUCCCAAGCAUACAAAAAUUUCGAAGGCAUGCAAAGACUCACCAAGUCUCAAAGCCUGUUUUAUGGCGAGACCAGAAGUCAAGCGUGCCAGGAUCUGCUCGACCAAGCGAUGGCGAGCAGAAUCCCAAGCAUACAAAAAUUUCGAAGGCAUGCAAAGGCUCACCAAGUCUCAAAGCCUGUUUUAUGGCGAUACCAGAAGCCAAGCGUGCCAGGAUCUGCUCGACCAAGCGAUGGCGAGCAGAAUCCCAAGCAUACAAAAAUUUCGAAGGCAUGCAAAGACUCACCAAGUCUCAAAGCCUGUUUUAUGGCGAGACCAGAAGUCAAGCGUGCCAGGAUCUGCUCGACCAAGCGAUGGCGAGCAGAAUCCCAAGCAUACAAAAAUUUCGAAGGCAUGCAAGGACUCACCAUGUCUCAAAGCCUGUUUUAUGGCGAGACCAGAAGUCAAGCGUGCCAGGAUCUGCUCGACCAAGCGAUGGCGAGCAGAAUCCCAAGCAUACAAAAAUUUCGAAGGCAUGCAAAGGCUCACCAAGUCUCAAAGCCUGUUUUAUGGCGAGACCAGAAGCUAAGCGUGCCAGAAUCUGCUCGACCAAGCAAAGGCGAGCAGAAUCCCAAGCAUACAAAAAUUUCGAAGGCAUGCAAAGGCUCACCAAAUAUCAAAACCUGUUUUAUGGCGAGACCAGAAGACAAACGUGCCAGGAUCUGCUCGACCAAGCGAAGGCGAGCAGAAUCCCAAGCAUACAAAAAUUUCGAAGGCAUGCAAAGGCUCACCAAGUCUCAAAGCAUGUUUUAUGGCGAGACCAGAAGCCAAGCGUGCCAGGAUCUGCUCGACCAAGCGAAGGCGAGCAGACCACCAAAGUUCCAAAAAGUUUCUAAGGCGUGCAAAGGCUCCAAAGUCUCAAAGCAUGUUUUAUUACGAGACAGGAAGCCAAGCAUGCCAGGAUCUGCUCGACCAAGCGAAGGCGAGUAGACCACCAAAGUUUCCAGUCUUGAUUCGUUUCACUCUCAACACUAGAAACUGGGGGACUGGUGUUUAGGGAAUGAAAUAAGGUGACCAAGAUAAAGGUGUUUGCUCAUACAUUAUCGUGCUCUCCUCAAAGUAAAAGUGAGCAAAUGGUAUAGCAGAUCACCUCGACCAGGAUGUUAUUAGUCACCUCGAGCAGAUCACCUCGACCAGGAUAUUAUUGGUCACCUCGACCAGAAUAAUAUGUGGUGACCUCGAGCACAUCACCUCGACCAGGAUGUUAUUGGUCACCUCGAUUAGAAUAAUAUGUGGUGACCUCGAGCACAUCACCUCGACCAGGAUGAUAUUGGUCACCUCGAGCAGAUCACCUCGAGCAGGAUAUUAUUGGUCACCUCGACCAGAAUAAUAUGUGGUGACCUCGAGCACAUCACCUCGACCAGGAUGUUAUUGGUCACCUCGACCAGAAUAAUAUGUGGUGACCUCGAGCACAUCACCUCGACCAGGAUGUUAUUGGUCACCUCGAGCAGAUCACCUCGAUCAGGAUAUUAUUGGUCACCUCGACCAGAAUAAUAUGUGGUGACCUCGAGCACAUCACCUCGACCAGGAUAUUAUUGGUCACCUCGACCAGAAUAAUAUGUGGUGACCUCGAGCACAUCACCUCGACCAGGAUAUUAUUGGUCACCUCGACCAGGAAGUUACCAGAAAGCACGAUUCAGUCAAAAUAUUUUCUCCGAAAUAUUAGGGACCAUAUUCUUAGUGGGCUGAAAAUUAGUAGUUCUCUUGAGAAUUCUAGGGGAGAGGAUAAAAACCACUAUAGUUUCCUAUAAAAACCCUAGGAAGGGGAUUCUUCGAGCUCUCUCUCUCUCUCUAAGCAACUGAACCCAUUGGACAUUUUUCUCUCUCUACCACUGAGAAAUUUCUCUUUCGCCUGUGAUUUCUUUAAGAUUGAUUAUUUUGAAUUCUUUUCCUUUAAAUUUACUUAAAAGCUUUUUGUUUAAAGUAAUCAUAAUUAAGCCACAUGAAUUGUGGUAUGGGUUUUUCCAAGUAAGACCCGAAUCGCUGACUUGAGCGUCGGAGGGUUCUUGCCGGAAAAACUUCCGGCACCUCCUGACCGUUGGUUGUGUUCACAGGCUCACAGGUUAUCUGCUCAUGAAUUAUCUGCUCAUGGGUUAUCUGCUCAUGGGAUGUCUGCUCAUGGGUUCUCUGCUCAUGGAUCGUCUGCUCGUGGAUUGUCUGCUCAUGGGUUCUCUGCUCAUGGAUCGUUUGCUCAUGGAUUAUCUGCUCAUGGGUUGUCCGCUCACAGAACAUCGGCUCAUAGAAAAUCUGCUCAUGGUGCUAACUAAUCAUCAGCUUCCCACCAAACAAAUUUAAUGAUGAUGCAGUGAUCUAAGAUCUGACCAACUUAUCCGGAUUUCUUGCAUCAACAGGUACAAGCAUAUGUAUAUAUUACUCAUUCGUAAUUAUUUUGUCAGUGACUAAUUAAUGAUAAUAAUUCAUAUGCAUUUGCAGCUUACGACAGCUUGGGGAGUUUGAAACAGCUGAAGGUCUUAAAUCUUGGUGGUGAUUUCCUCAACGACAACAUAUUACCAUAUUUGAAUACACUAACUUCACUUACCACUCUGAAUCUUCGUUCCAAUAACAUUGAAGGUUCCAGAAUCAAGCAAGGUAUAUAUGUUUGAUACCAUCUUGCUGGCUUCAGCCUGUGUACAUGCGCGCAUUGCAACCAAGACACUGGGAAAGUGGCCUCGUAGUCAUUUUUUUUUCCUUUUCUUUUUCUCUAAACUUCGUUUUCGGAACACAUGAAAUCUAUCAAUUAGAAAGGGAGGGAAAAAAAAAAUCGUAGUAACUAUUAAUUGUUGACCAUUGACCCAAACUCUGACAUCAAUAACAAAUUUUUAAAAUAUCUAAAUAGAUUUAUUAAAUAAUAAAUGCUAAUAGUAUUUUUUUUUUAAAUAUUACUUAUAAUACAAUUGUUAAAUCUUAUAAAUUAUUCAUAAGACUAAUAAAUAGAAGGUAAAAUAAAUAAAUUAAUAUAAAAUUAUUAACUCGUAAAACAAUUAACAUGGUUUUAAUUCAUUUAUUUUAAUGGACUAAAACCGCUGACCAAAAUAAUUAGGAAAUUUGAUUUUUAUCUGUUUUUAAGUCUUGUAUUGGAUUUUGACCGAAUUCGCUAUAAUUAGUUUUCAUUCUAUAAAAUUUUAAUAUUUUAUUUUCAAGUUUAGGAAUAUGUAAUUUGAAGAAUCUUUUUGAGUUGGAUCUAAGCUCAAAUAACUUUGAGGGUCACAUUCCUCAGUGUCUCAACAACUUAACGCAUCUCAAAGUUCUUGAUAUUUCUAAUAAUCAAUUAAGUGGAAAAGUUCCUUCUAUCUUGACCAACCUCACAUCACUUGAAUAUUUAGAUCGUUUUUCCAUUAAUUUCCAAGGAACAGUCUCAAUAAAUUCAUUGGCUAAUCAUUCGAGGUCUUGUUAAUCUCAUCAGGAAGCAAUAUGUUACAAGUGAAAACUGAAACCUGGCACCCCACAUCUCAAUUGAAGGUUCUCAAAUUAUCCGACUGCCACUUACAUGUCAUUCCUAGUUUUCUUUUACAACAGUACCACUUAAAAUUCCUUGACCUCUCUAAUAAUAAGGUGGUUGGCAAUUUCCCAAUUUGGUUGUUCCAAAACAACACAAGAUAAAAAUAUUUGUCUUUGGCGAACAACUCACUCUCAGGAAUUCUUCAUCUACUUCCCAAUGCCAAACACGAUAUGCUUCGUCAUCAAGAUAUUUCCAAUAACAAUUUCGCUGGUAAGCUACCACGGAAUAUGGGUAUUGUCCUUCGGAAAUUGAUUUAUUUGGAUAUGUCAAAAAAAAUUUUUGAAGGUGAUAUUCCUUAUUCAAUAGGUAAGACGAAAGAGUUAUAUAUGCUGGAUUUGUCUAUAAAUAAUUUUUCAGGAGAAUUAGCCCGAUCUAUAGUCUCUACUUGCGUCGCUCUAGAUUUGUUAGACCUAUCAAAUAACAAUUUCUAUGGCCAAAUUUUCCCCAAAUAUAUGAACUGGACUCAUUUGCAUUGGUUAUAUUUGGACAACAAUCAUUUCAGUGGAAAGAUGGAUGACUGUUUGAAGAGCUCCACUUCAUUAGAAGGGUUAGAUAUAUGCGAUAACAUGUUAUCCGAUAAUAUUCCUAAUUGGAUUGGUAACAUCUCAACUCUUAGGGUUCUUUUAAUGUCAAAAAAUUAUUUGGAAGCUAAUAUUCUAGUCCAACUCAGCCAACUUAAAAGUCUUGAGCCUAUAGACAUCUUUGAAAAUAGAUUGUCUGGGUCCAUGGUAUCUUCCUUCAAUCUUUCAUCAGUGAAACACCUUUAUUUGCAGAAGAAUGCUAUUACUGGGUAAAUUCCUAAUGCAUUGUUUAGAAGCUCUAAAUUAAUCACUCUAGAUUUGAGGGAUAAUAAAUUCUUUGGUAGGAUUCCUUAUCAGAUCAAUGAGCUUUCGAAUUUGCAUGUUCUUCUUUUAAGAGGGAAUUCUCUACAAGGACAUAUUCCUAAUGAAUUGUGCCAGUUAGCAAAAUUACGUAUCAUGGAUCUUUCAAAUAACAUAUUUAGUGGGUCAAUACCUUCAUGCUUGGGUAACGUGUCAUUCUGGAGAGAAUGAACUAAUUAUUAUUUGUAUGACUAUGGUUUGCUUGAUGAAUACACAGCGUAUCAGGGUUUCUACAUCGAUUCUAUUGCUACUACUUUCUACAAUUCUACUCUUAAUCUUCAACCGCCCACUGAACCACAUGCCUCAAUAAAUCAAACAGUAGAAGCAGAGCUUUGUGGUUCCUUGAUAAGGAAGAAAUGCAGCAGUAAUUAAAACCACCAGCAACACCAACAGAAGGAGCAGAAGAAGAAGAAGACGAUUCGAUGAUUGAUAUGGUGGCAUUAAAAUGGAGUUUUGGCGCGUCCUUUGUGACAGUUAUUUUGGGUUUGUUUGCAGUCCUUUGGAUAAACUCCUAUUGGCGUAGACGGUGGUUCUAUUUCAUUGAUAAAUGUAUUGACACAUGCUACUAUUGGCUCUUCAAAUAUGCAUUCUAUCGGUGAUUGUGCUAGGCCAUUGUAGUAAGUUCCUACGGGUCUGCCGGGUAUAACUUGUCAUGCUGUGUUACGUAUUCCGUCAGCUUUUCUGCAAACUGCUAUGUAUCAGUGUAUGUGUUUGCUAAAAUUCUUAAUUUGGUCCUAAAACUAUGCUCAAGUUUUGAAGUUCCUUCGAGUGGUUUCGUUAAAAUUAGACUUACUGUUUCUUCUGCAGUUUCUGUUGGUUGCAAAUAUAAAUUUAACAACUUCCUGUUGUAUCUCGAACGUGCUUGUGUUGAUUGAAAGAACAUUGAGACUCGAAAUGCUAUAAUCCGAAUGAGCAAUUUUCCCAAAUACUAUGUUGAUUGUAAUAUGAACGGGAUCUCGCGGUGCCACCGAUAUUUCUUUGUAGAACACCGACUUGCAAGCCAUGGCAGUAACGUUUGGAACCUGGGACUCUUCUUUUGAAGAUGGAAAAACUCCAUUUACCAAAUCGAAAAAUGUUUUUCUAGAAUCAAUAACAACAACCAUUAAAUAACAAUAGGAUGGAAGAACUGCACAUAUCGAAAUAAUGGUUUCUUCUCACUCUGUUCAAGGUGAUUGGGGAAAACAAUAAUUAUCACUCUUUGCUGCCCGUCAUCUCUGAAUUUCUAAAGAUGUAGCAGCUUUACCAAGCAACCCUCCCUCAUUGCCUACUAACUAAACAAGCUGGCCCAAUCUCUGGCCAUAAAUAGUUCAGAAUCUUCUAAAAUUUGAAUCCUGUAUGUGAUCUGUAUAAGCAUGUUAGAUUUCUAUUAUAUAUAUAUAUAUAUAUGCUAGAAAUGGAUGUUAUAAUUGGUGCCUUCAGAGUUCACCAAUUAAAGUACAACUUUACUCUGUAUUCAGUAAAUUUGUGCACUGCCCUGACUUCUAUAUACAAGUUAUUAAUAAUAACUUAUGAAUACGAAUGUAUAUAAAUUAAUUUUCUUUAAUUGGGUAAAUUAAUUUUCUUUAAUUGGGCCAAAAAUGAUAUUUCAAAAGCCCAUAAACAAAAAAAUAAAAUAAGUUUUAUAUAUAAAGCGAAUUAAAAAAGAAAGCACUUACCAUUGCUUUGCAAAAGCACACGGGCAUGAGAGGAAGACAAUGGGAAAAUUUUCAUGAUUUAGGAUUUUUCCAAAAUUGAGUUUGGUCUUUCACAACUUGGAUUCGAGAGUCAUUCUAGAGUACUUUUAUCCCUAAGUUCAUUUGUAAAUUCAUUGGAGAGGAAUUUUAAUGUAGGAAGUGUAGAGAAAGGAUUUGAGUGAGAGGGAACUGAUUCAAGCUUUCAAGUUGAAUUUCUCAUCAAAUGGAAUAAGAUUUCUAUCAUUUUAUCUUUACCUGAAAUUGCAUUUACAUGAAAGUAAAAUUAAUUUAAAGAUUAGUAUACUUUUAUUAUAGUAAGGGCUCCCAACAAAUGGGUGUAGUCCGUCCCAAGCUAAUUUUAGUAAUUGGUGGAUCAUUUUAGGUGGACAAAGGCACCAAGGCAUUAGAGCCAAAAUGUGUAGCCCUCACUAUUUCCUCAAUUCGGUAUGUAAAUAGCUUAUUGUUAUAUAUUAUGUUUGGGUAGUUCAUGGUUAAUAAUGAGAUUGGUGAUAAUGUGGAUGAUUUAUUGGUAUUAUAGGAUAUGGAAAUUUAAUUAUUGAGCUGGAAUAUGGAAUUUUGAGCAUAAGGUGUAAUUGAUGGUUUUGAGAGUAUUAGGGUAAUUUUUAUUUACAAAUAAUGGAUUCGAGAGUUAUAAGCUAUGGGAUAAAUAUUCAUUGUGAAUCAUAUCACAUAAAAUUAGUUGUAUUUCUUAUGUUUGGAAAGUAAUUAUUGAUGGGGAAAAAUCAGGUUUUUAAAUUUUUAUAAAACCUUUUGAAGAUCGCUCUCAUAUAAUAUAUAAGAAUUCGUAUUCUAGAAAUCGUACCUUGUAAAUCUGAGUUUGCUUUUUCCGCUGAAGUGAUUUAGGCUCCUAGAUCACGAUCCGCCACCACCACUCCUGUUAGAUCACGAUCCGUCACCACCACGCUUGUUAGAUCACGAACUGUCUCCAAUGAUCUUCCAGGUUAUGACUCAGGUUCGAUCUGCACUUGACGUGUGGGCGCCUUUAUCACUACCAAAGCAACUAGCACGAGAAAAUUUUUCUCUCAACAAUGGAGAGAAAAAUCUUAUUCUCUGAUUUGUAUAAAGUGGCUUCCCCAUUCCUUUUUGGGAAAAUAAGCCUUAUAUAUCUCCCUUUAGUGAAAACCCUAGGCUCCAAGGAUUCCCCCAAAAUAAAACUCACGUUACUUUUCAUUUAAUAGGGGACCCACCAUGUAAAAUAACAUAAGACCCCUUACACAUAAACUUAUUAAAUGGAGCCUCCCACUAAAUGAUAUAUUUAGGCUUUUGACCCAAAUAGCUAGUUAUCUUGCUUAUUAGUCCAGCAGUGGUGCAAUCAAUUAAAUGAGCUAACCCGGGGAUCAUUUGGGAACAUACAAUAGUGGCUACAAUAAUUAGGCCUGUAAUUAAACUAGCCCAAUUAUUUAAUUCCAAAUCUACUCCACUAAAAGAUUGGAACUGACUUCCAUAAUUGUAUGCUCGAAUAAUAAUUCGUCCCAAGCCACAUUGAUUUCUUUACUGCACAAUCCUUUGUACCACAUCGUUAAUUAAAUUGAUAUCUCAACUGUCCAAUCAAUUUAAUAACAUCUUAUUCCUUGAUCCUUACUGGUUUUCUCUAAUGAUCAUUUUCAACAUACUAAAUAUGUUGACACACUCUGGCCAAAGAAUUCUAUGAUCAAGUACCGAAAACCUAUCAAGAGAUGUGUUGUACAAAUUCUAUAUUGUUAAUCCAUAACUCCAAUACUCAUAAUUGCUCCCACCAAGAUACCGGGUAAUCUUGACCACAAGGAUGUGUCGUGCCCAUUGGUAACUCAAAUGAAAUAACAAUCACAAUCAUGAAAUCAUAAUUAACUCAAGAUUAAGAUUACAGUAAAAUCAACGCCUAUGAGAUUUAAUAAGUCUGACAGUUAUUACAAAGUUAAUUAAAUCUCAUAUGUGAUCCUGUUCAAUGUAGUCGUACUACAUCAAUAAAUUCAUACAUGAUUAAGACAAAUCAUUCAAUGAAUUUAUUACAGUCUAUACCUAAAUAAAGUGCCCAACUUUAUUUAUCAACUGCAAACUAAAUUUAUUUAAUCAUAAGAUAACUUGUAUUUAUGUCUUCUGUGAAUCCACAUGGUGAUCACAUAAAUACAUAUAAUAUGAUUAAAUGGACUUUAAUACAAAUAUUAAUGCAAUUAAGAUAUUUGAAUAAAAUACCUCAUUAAUUUUAUUAAUCAGAAAAAAUAUUUAUUACAAAUAAAUAAACACAUAUGCUUUAAAGAGCAUAUUUUCCCAACAAUCUCCCACUAGCUCUCAAAGCAUAUCUGGCAUAUUGCACAUGCUCUAGGGCUCUAAGUGCAGGUUAUAAAGGUUUCCCACUAAUGGCCAUUGUAAUAAGAUCUGCCAUUUAGCAUCUAAUGCCAUUUGGGGUAUUGUCAUAUAACCUUUCUACACUAUUCCCUUAUAAGAUGAUACUUCCUUUCAAUAUGUUUUGUUUCUUGUGGUUCCUUGGUUCCUUAGAUUGAGCUACCGCACCACCAUUAUCACAAAAUAGUUUAAGGGGUGCAGUUACAACAGGUACCACCUCAAGAUUUCGUAGGAACUUGCAGAGCCAUAUAGCUUCUUUUGCAGCUUCAGAUGUAGCCACAUAUUCAGCUUUAGUUGUUGAGUCUGUGAUACAAGAUUGUUUCACACUCAUCCAACUAGUAGCUCCACUUCCCAAUGUAAACACAUAGCCGGAAGUUGAUUUUCUAAAAUCCUUAUCUGACAAAAAAUCAGAAUUAGUAUAACCCACUAGAAUAAGUUCAUCACCAGAAUACACAAGCAUAUAAUUUUAAGUUCUUUUCAGAUACUUCAUUAUAUGCUUGACCGCAGUCCAGUGUUCAGGUCCAGGAUUAGAUUGAUAUCUACUAACCAUCCCUACCGCAAAACAGAUGUCUGGCCUAGUGCAAAGCAUGGCAUUCAUGAGACUUCCCACAGCUUCUGCAUAGGGAACUCGUCUCAUUCUCUCUAUCUCUUCAGAUGUUUUAGGUGAUUGAUCCUUAGAGAAUGUAAUUCCAUGUCUGAAUGGUAAUAAACCAGUCUUGGAAUUUUCCAUACUAAAUCUAGCCAAUAUCUUAUCGAUAUAGACCGCUUGAGACAAGGCUAAAGUUUUAUUCUUCCGGUCUCAUAGUAACUUGAUACCAAGAAUAUAACUUGUCUCUCCCAGGUCUUUCAUAUCAAAUUGUUUUGCUAACCAAAUCUUUAUUGUAGUCAAUACUCCUAUAUCGUUUCCAAUCAGGAGAAUAUUGUCUACACAAAGAACUAGGAAGGCUACAAAUUUUCCCUGAAUUUUCUUGUACACACAUGGUUCAUCAAUGUUCUGAAUGAAUCCAAGUGAUUUAAUCGCUUGAUCAAAUCUGAUGUUCCAUGACUGGGAUGCUUGCUUCAAUCCAUAAAUAGAUCUCUGCAACUUACAUACCAUGUGUUCUUGGCCUUUUUUGUAUAAAUCCAUCUGGUUGCUGUAUGUAGAUGUUUUCUUCAAGAUGCCUGUUAAGAAAGGCAGUCUUGACAUCCAUUUGCCAAAUUUCAUAAUCUAGCACUGCAGCAAUGGAGAGCAGAAUCCUGAUGGAUUUAAGCAUAGCAACCGGAGAAAAAGUUUCCUCAUAAUUGAUUCAUUCUUUCUGAGUAAACCCUUCGGCUACUAAUCUUGCUUUAAAUGUUUCCACAUUUCCGUCUACUCCUCUUUUUCUCUUGUAGAUCCACUUGCACCCUAUAGGUUUUACCCCAUUUGGCGCCUCUACAAGUUCCCAGACUUUAUUGGAAUACAUAGAUUCCAUUUCUUGAUUCAUGGCCUUUUUCAAAAUUCAACAUCUCUAUCUAUUAGAGCUUCGUUGUAACUAGUGGGAUCUUGUACAUGUUCAUCUGAGAUAGCCAUAUAGGUUUCUCCCAAAAAUAUGUAUCUCGCAGGUAACCUAGUUACCCUCCCACUACGACAAGGUUCUAAAAGUGAUGGUUGUUCAAGGAUAAUCCUGUGCUGAUCAGCUGGUUGUUGCUGUUCUUCCUGUUCUAUAACAGGUGUUGAAAGCUGAGCAUCAACCUGAUCUCUUUUAUUUCUCUAGUUUUACCUUACUCUUAGGUUAUAAGUCAUUAUAGAGUCUUCCUCAAAGAAAGUAAAGAAUAUUUCUAUAAAUACAUUCCUAUCUUGAGGACUAUAAUUCAGACUUUCCCUUAUUCCUUUAAGAUACCUAAAACAUGCAAGCUUCUGAACACGAAUCCAUCUUGUCUAUCUCUGAUUCUAGUAGAAAUACUAGUAAACUCCAAAUACGAAUGUGUCUCAAACCAUGUUUGUGACUUUUUCAUAAUUUCUUGGAGUAGUAGACACCGAGAUAGAUGAAACUAAGUUCAAUAAACUUUGUAGUUUUAAAUACUAGUAUCUGGAAUCAAAAAGGUAAAUGAUAAACCACUUAGUAUAUAUCUUGUCUUAUCCAAAAGAAUCUUGUUUCUCCAUUUAAUUACACUAUUGUAUCAUAGUGUUCAUUGACAACCAAAUAGUGCUUGAAUUCUCCAUAGAGAUAUUCUUUGUUUCGAUCAUAUCGAAGUUCUUUUAUGUUCCUGUCUAAUUGCUUCUGUCUUAUCCACGUACUCUUUUGAAUUUCAAAAGCAAUGGAAUCAUGACGCAUUUAGACAAACAUAAAUAAAAUGAAUAUUCAUCAACAAGAUUGAUAGAAUACUCAUAUCCUCUUAUAACAUGUAAACUGAUUAGUCCGUAUACAUUUGUAUGCGCUAAAUCAUCAAAUACAAUGUUAUGCUUUUAGCUCAAAAAGAGCAUCUUUGUCAUAUUACUUUUCUAAAUAAGAUUUAUAGAGUUACAAUGAUCAAUCUUAAUAGGCCAACAAGUCUAUCAUUAAUCAUUUUCUUAAAAUCUUAUUAUAGUUUAUAUGACUUAAGCAUAAAUAUCAGAGGUGAUUCUUGGUUAGAAGAAACAUUUCUUUUCUUAGAUAAAUGCAUAUACUUUUUAUCAUUAUAUCUUACUUUGAACAGAUCAAUGUACUUCUAUGAUAUAAAUUGUCUUUAUAAAUAACCAAAAUAAGUAAUAAACAGAGGAUCCAUAAAUAACAGUGUACUCCUGUUUAUUAAAACAAGCCACUGAAAUUAAAUUCCUCUAAUAUUUGGAAAAAUAAAGACAAAUAUCAAAACUAAAGUCUUGUAAAAUUGAUCUAGUCUUUCAAUUGAUAUAAACUAGCACAUCCUCAACUGCUAUUUGAAGCUUUCUUCACUUAAUCUCUUGGUUUCCUGAAAACCAAAUAAAUGAAUUACAAAUAAGAUUAGUUAUCUCAGAAUUCAUUAUUGUAUGAAUCAAUAGAAAUAUGAACUAAUUAGGAAGCUUAAAGAUUUCCUAUACCUGAUUUUAAUAAUCUUAGGACAAUCUUUCUUCCAGUGACCCUUCUGUCCACAUUUGUAACACUUGCCUUUUGGCUUGCCACUUCUUUUAAUGGACAGUUUGCCGAUCCCAACUCUUGCUUGCUCAUUCUUGUCUUUUGACUUAAGCCUUGAAGAGAAUCCUUUUUCAGGAAGUUUUCUGCUAUGAUAAAAUUCUUCUAUAGCAUGUAGUUCGUGCAUUAAUUCAAUUAAGGUCAUAUCUUUAUUGUUUAAGAUAUAGCUGACCUUAAACUCUUUGAAUGUAUCAGGUAAAGAUUCAAUCACCAUGUUAAUCUUUGAUUUAUCAUUGAUUUGAACACCAUGAAUCUCUACCUCAUUCAAAUAGUCCAUCAUUUUGAGGACAUGAUCACGAACUUUUGUGCCCUCUUCCAUCUGAGUAUCCGUAAUACGUUUUAAUGCUGCUUCUCUGGCAAAAUGGGUAUUUUGCCCAAACAUCUGAUGCAGACUAGCCAUUAUUUCAGUGGCUGUUUCCAUGCUCCGAUGUUUCUUAUGCAGUUCCACAGAAAUCGAAGCCAAUAUAUAGCGCUUAGCCAUUUUGUUAGCUUCGCACCAUUUCUCAUAAGGCUCCCUCUGAUUUCUAUAAUCGUAUAACGAUGGUUCAGGAGGGCAAGGCUGGGUCAACACAUAUUUGCUUCCCUUAGCAGUGAGAAUAUUAAAUAGAUUGCGUUUCCAAUCUAAAUAAUUUUCGCCAGUGAGUUCAUUUUUAACAAGGAUAAAUAAUAAUGGGUUGAUGGAAGACAUUUUCUGAAAAAAACAAAAUACACAUGCAUAAAUACUUUGAAACAAUAUUCACAAUAAAUGACAAAAAUGCAAAAAACCAUAAAUGCAUUUUAAUUUAUUGUAACGAUAAUCUAGUACCGCUUUGACAAGCUAUUCGUUGGGGAAGUCAUGUCUACACUUACUAGACCCAAUUAUCCAUUGGAUUAUUUACUUUCAUGUAGAGACAUGAUAAAUAAUUAUCGUUAUCCCUUUGGACCUAAAUUUGUUAACAGAGCUUCGUUGGGAAGGUUAAUAACAAACUUUAGUUGAGUGUAUAACCAUUGUUUCAAUCUACGUAUUUUUCAUAUCAAUAGUCACCGUUGGGGUGAACAAUCGAUUGAAAAAUAUUUCAAUUUUAUCUUUGAAGAAGUUCAUCAAAUAAAAUAUCUAAUAUAUAUACCCUCCGAAGGGAGCAUCACCGUAUCAUGAAGUCGAGGUAUAUAUAUAAUUUUAUUAUUGAACUAACAAUGGAGCCCGUGGGAAAAUUAUCUUGAAUUUUCCCUCUCCCACUCAAUAUUUUAAAAUUGGUUUUUCCUUUUUAAAACAUACAUAUUGUUAAUUGCAUGCUUCCUAUAAUAUUAUCUAGAUGAUAUCAAAUAUUAUUAAGCAUAUACAAAUUUCAAACAAUAUAAUGAAAUUCAUUAUUAAUGAAUGACAUGUAUCAUUAUGCAUAGAGUGGCACUACCUAUUCUAUAUGACAUGUUAUCAUGGCAUGUUAUCAUCCAAAACAUAACAUAUAGAAAAACUAUUAAAUAAUCUUAAUUCAUGGCUUUCCUAAUAAUGAAAAAUACAUUAACCCUAAGCCUAAUCUUCAUUGGGCUUCUUGUCAAUGUCCAUCUUCCAUAAGCUUGUUUUUGUUAAUGGACUAGGGGAAAUUGAGCUUUUAAAUUUAUAAUUGGUCCAAUUUUAAUUUUGAAAGGAAAUAAAUAAAUAAAUUAUUUUAUUUUUAUUUUAUUUUUUUUUAUUAAAAUAAAACUUUUGGACCAAAAAUAAAUUUAAUGUAUUUAAUUUUGUCUAUGCAUUUUUAAUCCAUUAAGCCCAAAUAUCAAUUGGGCCUAAAACUAGGAUUCUUUAAGCCCAAAACUAUUUUUAGACUUAAAUGCAAAAAAUUAAAACUUGACUGCCCAAGUGAAAAAUUAUGGAACCAUAGGGACCUCCAUGAUAAAAGCCAUGAAACCCUAAAUCCAUAUUUUUCUUUCUUUCUUCUUCCCCAGCCGCCAUCUCCAAAAUCCUCCUUCACUGUUCAGACGCCAGCCGACCUCCGACGCCGACGCCGACGCCAAACCAACUGCUGCCGCCUGGCCGGAAAACGUGCCAAAACCCGCGCGCAACUUUCUGCUGGCCUCGGCAGCGUUGCUUCCAGCUGCAGCACAUGCAGCGCGCGCUGCUGGCCACGCUGGCCGCGCGCGCUGCUUGCUGCGCACAGCGCAGCGCGCGCCGCUGGCCAAUGUUGGCCGCGCGCGCUGCUUUGCUGCGCACAGCGCAGCGCGCGAUGCUGGCCAUUGCUGGCCGCGCACGCUGCUGCAGCAUGCCCUGGUUUGCUGCCGCUGUCAUAAUUUCCGGCCUCCGUCGCUCCGAUCUUGAAAAUCUGAGAUUAAUUUACAAAUUUCCUAGACCAAUUUUGGCUUACAAAAAUUCUAUAACUGUAAAAUAAAUCAAGAGGGAAACAUGGUGAUAAAAAACCACCCCUCUUGUUACAGAUUCAAAGAACAAUACAAAAGAAAAUCUAACCAUGAAUUAAGACAAACCAUAAGCAUGCUUUAUUCAUAUAUUAAAUAAAUAAUAUACAUCUGAAUAAAUUGUGCCACUCUAAUACAUAAAUUUCAAGAUUAAUUUCAUACGAAAUUCUUAUAUAUUAAUAUGAGAUGGCUCUGAUACCAAUUGAUGGGGAAAAAUCAGGUUUUUAAAUUUUUAUAAAACCUUUUGAAGAUCGCUCUCAUAUAAUAUAUAAGAAUUCGUAUUCUAGAAAUCGUACCUUGUAAAUCUGAGUUUGCUUUUUCCGCUGAAGUGAUUUAGGCUCCUAGAUCACGAUCCGCCACCACCACUCCUGUUAGAUCACGAUCCGUCACCACCACGCUUGUUAGAUCACGAACUGUCUCCAAUGAUCUUCCAGGUUAUGACUCAGGUUCGAUCUGCACUUGACGUGUGGGCGCCUUUAUCACUACCAAAGCAACUAGCACGAGAAAAUUUUUCUCUCAACAAUGGAGAGAAAAAUCUUAUUCUCUGAUUUGUAUAAAGUGGCUUCCCCAUUCCUUUUUGGGAAAAUAAGCCUUAUAUAUCUCCCUUUAGUGAAAACCCUAGGCUCCAAGGAUUCCCCCAAAAUAAAACUCACGUUACUUUUCAUUUAAUAGGGGACCCACCAUGUAAAAUAACAUAAGACCCCUUACACAUAAGCUUAUUAAAUGGAGCCUCCCACUAAAUGAUAUAUUUAGGCUUUUGACCCAAAUAGCUAGUUAUCUUGCUUAUUAGUCCAGCAGUGGUGCAAUCAAUUAAAUGAGCUAACCCGGGGAUCAUUUGGGAACAUACAAUAGUGGCUACAAUAAUUAGGCCUGUAAUUAAACUAGCCCAAUUAUUUAAUUCCAAAUCUACUCCACUAAAAGAUUGGAACUGACUUCCAUAAUUGUAUGCUCGAAUAAUAAUUCGUCCCAAGCCACAUUGAUUUCUUUACUGCACAAUCCUUUGUACCACAUCGUUAAUUAAAUUGAUAUCUCAACUGUCCAAUCAAUUUAAUAACAUCUUAUUCCUUGAUCCUUACUGGUUUUCUCUAAUGAUCAUUUUCAACAUACUAAAUAUGUUGACACACUCUGGCCAGAGAAUUCUAUGAUCAAGUACCGAAAACCUAUCAAGAGAUGUGUUGUACAAAUUCUAUAUUGUUAAUCCAUAACUCCAAUACUCAUAAUUGCUCCCACCAAGAUACCGGGUAAUCUUGACCACAAGGAUGUGUCGUGCCCAUUGGUAACUCAAAUGAAAUAACAAUCACAAUCAUGAAAUCAUAAUUAACUCAAGAUUAAGAUUACAGUAAAAUCAACGCCUAUGAGAUUUAAUAAGUCUGACAGUUAUUACAAAGUUAAUUAAAUCUCAUAUGUGAUCCUGUUCAAUGUAGUCGUACUACAUCAAUAAAUUCAUACAUGAUUAAGACAAAUCAUUCAAUGAAUUUAUUACAGUCUAUACCUAAAUAAAGUGCCCAACUUUAUUUAUCAACUGCGAACUAAAUUUAUUUAAUCAUAAGAUAACUUGUAUUUAUGUCUUCUGUGAAUCCACAUGGUGAUCACAUAAAUACAUAUAAUAUGAUUAAAUGGACUUUAAUACAAAUAUUAAUGCAAUUAAGAUAUUUGAAUAAAAUACCUCAUUAAUUUUAUUAAUCAGAAAAAAUAUUUAUUACAAAUAAAUAAACACAUAUGCUUUAAAGAGCAUAUUUUCCCAACAAUUAUGACAUUUCCUUGAUAUAGGAGGAGCCACGAACAUCAAUUCGCAGACAUCGACAAUAACCAAACUUGAGCAUCAUCGUUGUUAGUUACACCUGUAGCCAAAUUUAUGACCUUUGGAAGAUACCCUACUCAUUCUACGCAACCAUCCUACAUCAUGCCAAAGUUAGUUACAUGGGACACGCGUGAUCUCUUCGUUAAUGGUCUUGAUUCACACACCUAAGAAUUAUGUUCAGCCUUGCACUAUUAAUAUCACUUAUAAAUUAUGAUCCAUGAAAUCCUCUGUUUUUAGUUUCUCUGCACUCUUUUAUCAUAAUUAUUUUUUUUAACAUUUUCUCUGUAAGCAAAAAUUGGCGUUCAACAAUUAAUAAGAGUUGUAACAGAGGAAAAUCCAGCAAUAACAUCCAAUCGAGGAGAAGACGAGGAUGAAUCUGCAAUUAAGAUGAAUCCUUUGGUUGAACUCGUAUUGGCAGUGGCCACGGUUAUCUUUCAUUGAUGCAUGUACUGAUUGUUGUUUAUAUUGGCUUCUAAAAUCUGUCUAUUUCAUCCGUGAUCUUGCUAGGCCAUAGUUUACCGUUAUCCUUCUUUUAUGUGUAAUUGAACUUUUAUGUGUUAAUUUUUAGUUCAUUGCUUUCAAGCUCGGUUCUUGAAAAAUAUACUAAUUUUUAUGCCUUGUGCAAUUCAUUUGCUAUAUGAAUCUGACGCAUUUCUCGUACCUGAGGUCUUAAGACCAGAGUGAAGGCCUGAAUAUUUCAUGUACAGGUGCCUGUUGGUGAUUUUGAUUUAGAAUUAUGGAUUUUGAAUGUUCAACCUUGCGCAUUUGCACUAGGAAUAUCAAUUAGGACAUGACGAAUGAAAUCCUCUGUUUUUAGUUUCUCUGCCCUCUUUUACUUUCUUUCACAGUUACAUUUUUCCUGUAAACAAAAAUUUGUCUCUAAGUUUUCAUUCACAUAUUUGUAAUUCAUCGUUAAUGUUAAAAAUUUAAGUGGCUAAAAACAUCCAAAAGUUGCGUGCAAUUGUCAUAUUAUGUUAAUGAUGAAUUAGCUUAUUUUUCUUUAGCUUUCCUCUAUCUUUCUUCGAGUACUGAUAUUUGAACACUAUCAAGAAACCACCAAGAUAAAAAAAUCAGUAUUGUUUACUGUAUCUUUCUUUUAUGAGUAGUUAAUUAUGCCUUGUUGUGCAAUUCAUUUGCCAUAUGAAUCUGAAGAAUUUAUUGUGCAUUGUGUUCUUAAGACUAUGGAGUGAAGGCCUUCACAGAACUAGCUCAAGAUGGCGCCAACAUUAGUUACAUGUGACACGCGGGACGUCUCUGUUAAUUAUUUUGAUUCACACGCCAAAGAAUUAUAUUGAGCCUUGCACUCUUUUAUUUUAUUUUUUGAACAUUUUCUCUGUGAACAAAUUUUGGUUUCUAAGUUUUCCUUGACAUAUCUGUAAUUUAUCAUUAAUGUUGAAAUUUCGGAGGCUAAAAACAUCCAAAAUUUGUGUGCAAUUAUCGUAUUGAGUUACUGAUGAAUCAGCUUAUUUUUCUUUAGCAUUCCCCUUUUUUCCUUUUCAUUUUGCUUAACUUUUCCUUCAUUCAAAUUCUUUCACUGUGCGGCUGUGGUCCUCAAACUCAAUUAUGAUAUUUACUAGUCGUGCGUCGAAUGUGGCUCUGAUUGAUGAUACGAUUGCUUGGUUGUGUUCAUAAACUUGACUAUGGGUUAACAUUAACACACAUCCUCCAUGUUCCAUCAACUAGCAAAACCGGAACUGUGCAUAGACUCAUGCUUUCUCUCCCGUACCCUUUUAUGACCCCUGUCCCCAGUUAGUUGACAGAAUACGUCAAUUGAAGGUUGCCUUGCAGUGUGCAUGUUUGAUUAUAAUUAUUGUAGAAUAAGGACUCCCUGAUCACAAGUCAAUGAAAUUGCAGAAAGCCUAUGAUCAUUGAAUGCUAAUUCCAUCUUACUGGCGUAGACAAUGGUUUAAUAAAUCUUUCGUAAAUUUCCUCAUCGCUUCCUAUGUCACAAUGAUAUUGGUGUAGCCGGUGAUUUUAGAUAAACUCAUACCAGCGUACAUUAUGGUUUUAUUAUUAAUUGAUGGACGAACCAAUUCAUGUUUCUAAAAAAAAAAAAAAAAGAAAGAAAGAAAGAAAAUCAUAUUGGCUUGUAUAUUUUAUUGCAAAAUAUACAAGCCCUUGUACACACCGGAUAAAUUUCUACCAAUACUAUACUAUACUUGUAAAGAGAGUUCAAAGAGCCAUAUUAGCACUUCCUGGAACUAUAUUAUUCAUCAAUUUUUUUUAUAAUAAUUAUAUUUUUUUAUUUUGGUUUGAGUACUUCAUAUCUCUGAAUAUAUAUAUAUAUCACCAGUCAAAGAUAUGUGAUUCACAUUUGACUUUAGCGAAAUAAAAAGUUGUUUUGCAAUGGAAGUACUUCCUUCAUUAAGUUCUCAUUAACCUCACUACUUUGGAUUGUUGUUUUGGAUGAAAUCCAGGUAUGCAAGGCUUGCUUGGAAGCUGAGAUGACGAAGCUCUUAGUUCAUGAUUUGACGAUGAUGAAGGAAUGUCGUCUGAUUGCUGUGAUGAUUGGGAGGGAGCGACGGAUCUCUUCUCAAUAAAAUAACGGAAUUCAACUAUUCUCAAUACAGGAAUAAAUUAUUUGAUUAUUUCAAACCCAGGCUUACGCUAAAUUAUCUCAAUUAACUUUCAUUUUAUUAGUUGACUAUCUCAAUCAACUGUUGACUAUCUCGACCAACUGGCUCCAAGUUGGCUUGUUUUCCACGGAGUAUUAAUGAAGCACUUUUCCUCAUUGGUCCAAGCCUUAUAAGUCUUCGUUAGUCAUUACAAUUCAAUGCUUGCAUAGAUUAAUUAUUUGAUAAUUCCAUGCAAAUCCAAUCAUACAAUUCAAUAGAAAAUAAUUAUCGUAAUUUUAGAAAGACAGUUUUGAAACAGUAAUUGAAAGUAUUCAUUUGAACUUUUUAUAUUUACAGAGAAAAGUCUAUUGGUGCUAGUUUCCAAUUCAUAAAAAUAAGUCAUCCGUGAAACACGCUUUGAAACUGGUUAGGCAGGAUGCAAAGUAGAACGUGAUCACCACUCAACCAUCUUUAACAUAAAAACGUACACUCCACGCUUGACUUGUAAAAGCUGGGCAUUUUCCAUGCUUUCAAGAAUGCUGAUCAAAUUAGCCACUCGGCCUUUGGCCGAGUGGUGAGAGCUGCUGCUCUCCAAUGUGGAGAGCAGCGGUUCGAACCCCCACAAUGCAUUGUGGGGGUAUUUCCUUCCUCAAUUAAAUUUGAGUGAAGGCAGUCUGCUUCCCUGCCCCAGUGCGAGGAGUAGACAUCCCUCGAAUAUUUGAGAGGGUUAAAAUCUGGGCAGCGCUCCAUUAGCAUUGAUGUAUGUUGGUCCUAGUUAUAGUCUGAUUUGUAAAUAUCAGUUAUAUUCUCAUGUAAUAUGAGUUGUACUUUGAGCAAUAGUCUCCUGUAAUUUGAGCAAUAGUCUCAUGUAAUCAAAAAAAAAAAAAAAAGAAUGCUGAUCAAAUUGGGGACGCAAUGGAUAAUUCUUGAUGAUUUAUUGGUUGACUGACUCUAUCACUAAUUUUAAAUUUAAAAAAUAUAGAAAAAUAUUUGAAAACCAAUAUUUUUACAUUUUUCCUUACAAGUUUGAAAUUUGAUUUCUAUAAUGAAAUAUUUCUAUUAGCUAUUAAAUUUAUCAUAAUUUUAGAAAGGCAUUUUUGAAAUAGUAAUUGAAACUCUUAGUUCAUGGUUUGAUGAUGAUGAAGGAUUGUCGUCUGAUUGCUGUGAUGAUUGGGAGGGAGUGAUGGAUCUCUUCUCAAUAAAUAAAAUAACGGAAUUCAACUCUUCCCAAUACUGGAAUAAAUUAUUUGAUUAUUUCAAACCCAAACUUACGCUUAAAUUUUGAAAAUGAUCUCAAUUAACUUUUUUUUUAUUAGUUGACUAUCUCAAUCAAUUGUUGACUAUCUCGAUCAACUGCUUCCAAGCUGGCUUGUUUUCCACGGCGUAUUAAUGAAGCAUUUUUCCUCAUUGGUCCAAGCCUUAUAAGUCUUCGUUAGUCAUUACAAUUCAAUGAGUGCACAGAUUAUUUGAUAAUUCAAUAGAAACGCAAUCACUCCCUUAAAUUAAUUAAAGGGAAAUUAUAAAGCCCUCCUCCUUUGGUUUAACCUAUCAGAAAUACUAAAAAGUUUGAAUUUAUUUAUUUUUCUUCUUAUGUUUUUAAUUUGUAUCAACCAACCAUCAAAAGAACAGAAAAAUUCAUACAAAAUUACCACUAUUGCCAUUUGUAUUUGUUUCUGUACUGUCAUUUCAUAAGUGUAAUUCUAUCUUUUUAUUAGAUGACGAAUACAAAUUGUAAACUUAAGGCAAAAAAUGAAUAAAUGAUAAACUUAAGACGGAUAGUUGAUAAUUUUCCUUAUCUAAAUUCUUAAUCAAUUUUUGUUUUAUAGCAUUGGCGGUCUCCAUCAAUUAGUAGAGGAAAAAUAAUAGACAGCCACUUGUUUGUUGCUUAAUUUGAAAGUCAAUCAGCUUUAAUUUUCCCCGGAAUUAUGGAUUUUGAAUGUUCAACCUUGUGCAUUUGCACUAGGAAUAUCAGUUAUGAAUGACGAAUGGAAUCCUCUGUUUUUAGUCUCUCUUCUCUCUUUUACUUUCUUUCACAGUUACAUUUUUUCUGCAAACAAAAAUUCAUUCACAUAUUUGUAAUUUAUCAUUAAUGUUAAAAAUUUCGGUGGCUAAUAACAUCCAAGAGUUGCGUGCAAUGGUCAUAUUGUGCUAAUGAUGAAUUAGCUUAUUUUUCUUUAGCCUUCCUCUAUCUUUCUUCGAGUACUGAUAUUUGAGCACUAUCAAGAAACCAUCAAGAUAGAAAAACGAGUAUUGUUUAUACUUCAAUACCACCAGAAUGCACAAAACGACGGUACCAGGCUAUAGUUUACUGCAUCUUUCUUUUAUGAGUAAUUGAACUUUUUAUGUAUUAAUUAUAGUUGGUUGCUUUCAAGCGGGGUUUAUGCCUUGUCGUGCAAUUCAUUUGCCAUAUGCAUCAGAAGAAUUUAUUGUGCAUCGUGUUCUUAAGACCAUGGAGUGAAGGCCUUAACAGAAGUAGCUCAAGAUGGCGCCAAAGUUAGUUACAUGUGACACGCGAGACAGUCUCUGUUAAUUAUUUUGAUUCACAAGCCAAAGAAUUAUAUUGAGCCUUGCACUCCUUUAAUUUAUUUUUUGAGCAUUUUCUCUGUGAACACAAGUUGGUUUCUAAGUUUUCCUUGACAUAUCUGUAAUUUAUCAUUAAUGUUGAAAUUUCGAAGGCUAAAAACAUCCGAAAGUUGUGCGCAAUUGUCAUAUUGAGUUAUUUUCUUUAGCUUUCCCCUCUUUUCCUUUUCAUUUUCCUUUACUUUUCCUUCAUUCAAAUUCGAUGAAUCAGCUUAUUUUUCUUUAGCAUUCCCUCUUUUCCUUUUCAUUUUCCUUUACUUUUCCUUCAUUCAAAUUCGAUGAAUCAGCUCAUUUUUCUUUAGCAUUCCCCUCUUUUCCUUUUCAUUUUCCUUUACUUUUCCUUCACUCAAAUUCUUUCACUGUGCGGCUGUGGUCCUCAAUUAUGAUAUUUACUAGUCGUGCGUUGAAUCUGGCUUUGAUUGAUGAUACGAUUGCUUGAUUGUGUUCAUAAGCUGGACUAUUGGUUAAUGUCAACACACAUCCUCUAUGUUCCAUCCUUCUUAGGAACUAGCAAAAUUGGAAUUGUGCACUGACUCAUGAUUUCUCUCACGUACCCUUUAUGACCCCUGUCCCCAGGUUAGUUGACAGAAUACGUCAAUCGAAGGUUGCCUUGCAGUGUGCGUGUUUGAUUAUAAUUAUCGUAGGAUAAGGACUCCCUGGUCACAAGUCAAUGAAAUUGCAGCAAGUCUCUGAUCAUUGGAUGCUAAUUUCCUCUUACUGGCGUAGACUAUGGUUUAAUAAAUAUUUCGUAAAUUUCCUCAUCGCUUCCUAUGUCACAAUGAUAUUGGUGUAGCCGGUGACUUUGGAUAAACUCAUAUUGGCGUACAUUAUGGUUUUAUUAUUAAUUGAUGGACGUACUAAUUCAUGUUUCUAUUGGCUUUGCAAAAAGAAAGAAAUCUCACUUUAUUGUAAAAUAUACAAGCCCUUAUACACACCGGAGAAAUUUCUACCAAUACUGUACUAUACUUGUAAAGAGAGUUCAAAGAGCCAUAUUAGCACUUCCUGGAACUAUAUUAUUCAUCAAUUUUUUUAUACUAAUAAUAAUUUUUUUUUUUUUAGUUUGAGUACUUCAUAUCUCUGAAUACAUAUAUAUAUUACCAGUCAAAGAUAUUUAAUUCACAUUUAACAUUAGCCAAAUAAAAAGUUGUUUUGCAAUGGAAGUACUUCCUUCAUUAAGUUCUCAUUAACGUCACUACUUUGGAUUAAUGUUGUUCUGGAUGAAAUGCAUGGAUGCAAAGCUUGCUUAGAAAUCAAAAGCUUCUUCAUAUCAGCUAUUGAUAUUGGAUACGAUGACGAAGCUCUUAGUUCAUGGUUUGAUAAUGAUGAAGGAAUGUCGUCUGAUUGCUGUGAUGAUUGGGAAUGAGCGAUGGAUCUCUUCUCAAUAAAAUAACGGAAUUCAACUCUUCUCAAUACUGGAAUAAAUUAUUUGAUUAUUUCAAACCCAAACUUACGCUUAAAUUUUGAAAAUGAUCUCAAUUAACUUUUUUUUUAUUAGUUGACUAUCUCAAUCAAUUGUUGACUAUCUCGAUCAACUGUUCCAAGCUGGCUUGUUUUCCACGGCGUAUUAAUGAAGCAUUUUUCCUCAUUGGUCCAAGCCUUAUAAGUCUUCGUUAGUCAUUACAAUUCCAUGCUUGCAUAGAUUAUUUGAUAAUUCAAUGCAAAUCCAAGUAUACAAUUUAAUAGAAACCCAAUCACACCCUUAAAUUAUUUAAAGGGAAAUUAUAAAGCCCUCCUCCUUUGGUUUAGCCUGUUAUCAGAAAUACUAAAAAAAUUGAAUUUAUUUAUUUUUCAUCUUAUGUUUUUAAUUUGUAUCAACCAUUUAUGAAAAGGACGUAAAAAUUCAUGCAAAAUUACCACUAUUGCUAUUUGUGUUUGUUUCUAUAUUGUCAUUUCAUAAGUGUAAUUCUAUCUUUUUAGUAGAUGACUAAUACGAAUCACAAACUUAAGGCGAAAAAUGAAUAAAUGAUAAACUUAGGACGGAUAAUUGAUAAUUUUCCUUAUUUAAAUUCUUAAUCAAUUUUUGUUUUACAGCAUCGGCGGUCUCCAUCAAUUGGUAGAGGAAAAAUAGUAGACAGCCAAUUGUUUGUUGCUUAAUUUUCCAGUCAAUCAGCUUUAAUUUUCGAGAAAUUUACACCAAUAGCCAUAAAAAUUUUGGCUUUUUCCAUCUUAACCCCCCAAACAAACUUCUAUCAACAUUACUACAUUAGCCAUAAAAAAGCCUUUGAGGCCAAAAUACCCCUCUCUCUCAUCUCCACAAUGUUGGUGAGCUUGCCUUGGCGCAACAACUCGCCGAUUCUGUCAAGCCUUUAAAUCAGCCAUGGCGGCAGUAGAAACACGCUCCAUUUCGGAAAUGGCGUCGUCAGAGAUUCUGGACUCGGUUUCACUGACCUCGUAAUCUUCAAGAUCAGAGAAGCUCACUCUGGAGGCCCUGGAAGAGGAGACGGAGACAGACUCAUGGUCGAGAUACUCUCCGUUGAUCUUCAGCAUCUGAUAAAACUCCCUUUUCGAGUCUUUUCAUGGUGGUUUGCAUUAGGGUUUGGGCGAGGACGAGCUUGUCAGAAAUAGUGCAUGGCGAUCUGCAAGUCGUAGACGGCUUUGAGGUAGUCCUUGGCGUCUUGGCAGUUGUCGGAGGAGAAGAGAGAAGAGAUGUUGCAUCAUAGAGAGGUAUCGUCCCAUUUGGUGAUGAGAGAGCGGGCAAUUUGGAUGUUCUCGUCCAUUAAAGAAUCGGAGAAUGUGACCCGUUGAGGCGACGAUGAAGGUGUGCCCGCCGUCAGAGAUGUGGAUGGUUUGAAGAAUAUGUCGCACUGCACCUGUCGCACCAAGCAAGGCUUUGCGCUUGGUGCGACAGGUGCCUGUCGCUCGAAGCUUCGUGCGACAGGCAACCUGUCGCCAGAUUCACCCCGACUCACAGUUCACUGAAACUCUCGAGCAAGUUCAGAAAAUAACUCAUACCACUAUGUGAUGCCGAUUAGUGUUGGAUCCGGAUAGAUUAUUAUCAGAUUUCACUUUUAUCGUUGCCUUUUGCUGUCGCUGUUGGUUGAUGAUUCAAGAGUGGAAAGCUACCUUUGGUUUGACGAAAGGGGAGAAAAAAAGUUGCUUUUGGUUUGUAAAGAAGGGUAAUUUGGGAAGAAAAGCGUGUGUUUGGCUAAUGUUGAUAGAAAAAAGUUGAGAGGGUUAAUUGUGAAAAUAGCAAAAAUUUUAUGGUUAUUUUUGUAAAUUUCCCUUAAUUUUCCCCGUAGUUGUAAUAAUAUAUGGGAAAUUUGAUAAAUUGAACCUCUGUACAUCUGUCCCAAGUUCCUAUGAAAUUUCUCUUUUUGUCAUUUCAAGUGAUUGUAAUAGUAGUAGAGUUGCAGAUUGAGAACAAUCGAAACUUAAUUUCCCUAUUAAGGUUUACCAAUAUAUUUGAUUUUAAUAGCUUUGAUUCAAAUGCAUGAACUUGAGGAGUCACAAAAGCUUCAAAUAACAUUUAUGUGUUGGUCAUUUUAUAGUACAUCACACUUUUAUGAGUAAUUAAACUAAUAAAUUAAACUUAUCAAACAUCCAAACAAAUUCUUCACAAAACAUAUUAUUUAAUAGAUUAACUGAUAAUCCAAUGCAAACCCAGAUAUAAGGAUAAAUUAUUUAAAUUCCCUCACACAACUUUUAUUUUAUUAGUCACGACUAUCUCCAUCCAACUGUUGGAGAAAAUAUACACUUUUAUGAGUAAUUAAACUAAUAAAUUAAACUUAUCAAACAUCCAAACAAAUUCUUCACAAAACAUAUUAUUUAAUAGAUUAACUGAUAAUCCAAUGCAAACCCAGAUAUAAGGAUAAAUUAUUUAAAUUCCCUCACAUAACUUUUAUUUUAUUAGUCACGACUAUCUCCAUCCAACUGUUGGAGAAAAUAUAGUUUACAGUCGCUUGUUUGUUGGCUUAAUUCGAGGGUCCCUCAACUUUAAUUUUUUUUUUACGGAGUAUUAGUGAAGUUCUUUUUUUUUUUUUCUCCUCGGUCGAUGUUGCAAUAUAUAUGUAAUUUCAAGGUUACAAGUCUUCACCAAAGACAAAGACUUCAAGAUAGCGGUGUUAUAAUGUAUCGACAAUAUUUUGUCUUUAAUAACCCUCUAAAACAAAAGUAAGAUAAUCAAGUACUUUUAUUACUUGAUAUCUCCAAGAUGUUUUAUUUUCGUUAGAUUGAGUGGUUGGUAAUCUUCAGCCAAUCAAAUUGCAAGGUCCACGAUGAUAAAUGUUUAGUAUAAAUAUUGAAGUUUCCUCGUUGCAAAUUUUAUAUUAACCAAAUGAAAAGUUGCUUUGCUGCAAUGGAAAGUACUUCCUUUGUUAAGUUCUCAUUAAUUUCACUAAUUUGGAUUAUUUUUUUGAUGAAUGAAAUGCAUGGAUACAAAGCAUGCUUGCAAACAGAGAGGACUGCUCUGUUGGAACUCAAGAGCUUCUUCAUAUCAGUCAGCGAUGUUGGAUAUGAUGACAAAAUUCUUCCUUCAUGGGUUGAUGAUGGAAUGUCGUUUGAUUGUUGUGAUGAUUGGGAGGGAGUUAAGUGCAACACCACCACACGACGGGUGAUGCAACUCUCACUCAAUUGGACAACAAUGUUCAACGACACUAAAUAUAGCUCUUUUUAUUAUGGAGCUUUGCUUCUGAAUAUGUCAUUGUUUCAUCCUUUCGAAGAAUUGCAGAGCCUCGACUUAUCUGAUAAUUGCUUUAAAGGCUUCUAUGAGAGCAAAGGUACAUGUAUAUAUAUGUAUAUAUUUCUCGUGAAAAUUAUAAAAAUUAAUCCUUCAUAUGCAUUUGCAGUUUACGAUAGCUUUGAGGGUUUAAAACAGCUAAAGAUCUUAAAACUUAGUGACAAUUUCUUCACCGACAGCAUAUUACCACAUUUGAAUACGCUAACUUCACUUACCACUCUGAAUCUUCGUUCCAAUAACAUUGAAGGUUCCAGAAUCAAGCAAGGUAUAUAUGUUUGAGGCAAGCAGAAAUGCAUGUCAGGCAAGUUAAUCUCUUCAAAUAUUUAUGUAUAUUGUUUUGAUCAAAAUUAAUGUUUACUGAGCAGGAUUAGCAGAUUUGAGAAACUUGCAAGUGUUGGAUCUAAGCUGGAACCUCAAUCUAACAAGUGGCUCUUUAUCAAGGCUAGGUAAGCUACUGGGAUAAAACCAAACAACCACACUGAUCACAGCCUUACUACAAUAAUUUUGAAGUAAUAUUUUAUUUAUUUAUUUAUUUUUUUAUUGAUGUAGGAUUGGCAAAUUUGACAAACUUGAAAACAUUAGAUCUUGGUGGUUCUGAAAUAACUACACUUCAAGGUAUACCACAACAAUCAUCACUUCCUAUAAAUUUCCCAGUUUUUUUUUUUUUGGGUAAUAUUAUGGCCUUUCAUUUUUCAAUCUGCUGUUUGAGUACAUCAACUUAGUUGAAUCUCAAUUAAACUAAGUUGACUAAUUACAACCAUCUGCUUUAUUAUAAUUUUUAAAUCUGAUUUUGAAUUCCCAUUCUUCAUUCUUUUGAUUCUAAUGCCUAAUUGACUAAUUCCAACUAGAUCAAAUUUGAAUUAGAAUCACUGCUUUCUUUACAAAGUUUAGUACUUGACAUACUGGAUCGCCAUUUUCUGAUAUAACCCGCUCAUUUCUUUCACUCUCUCCUAAUUCUGAAUAUUUUUUAUAAAAAAGUCAACAAUGAUAUUUAUCUUUAUUUCAAUAUUUAUAGUUCUAAAUGAAAAAAGAUUUUUUUUUAUCUUUUGUUCAUUAAAUAUUGAUGUAGGAUUAGCUAAAUUCAAAAACUUGGAAGCAUUGAAUUUGAGUAAUAGUAAUACAAAAAAAUUCUCUAGAAACCCAAAUUAAACAAUUUACACGGCAUUUUUAUGUUGAAACAUGAUAAAUAAGAGCACAAUAUUGUUUUCUAAUUGCUGUUUUCACAAAAUAAAAAUGAAAAUGAAAAUGUUAUUUUUAAAUUUAUUUUUAAAAUUUAAAAAUGUGUUCGGUAUCAUUUCAAAAUAAAUCUCAAAAAAUAAGAAAAAGAAAAACGUGUUUGGUAAGAAUAUUUUAAAGAAUUAUUUUUGGAAUAAUAAUAAUUUCCAUAAACUUAAGAUUAAGCAAGGUAUAUUGAUUAUUUUAAUUUUAAGAAUAAAUUAGGUGAUCUUGCUAUUAAUUUUUUUGUUCAAAGAAAAAUGAUAAACUCUACAUAUUUGAUUUAAUUAAUAUAUAAAAACAUAAAUAUUAUAAUGUAUAUAAAAAGAAAAGAUUAUUGUUAGGGAAAUUGAUUUUUUGGUAGUAUAAUGAUAAUAAUAAUAAUAAUAAUAAUAAUAAUAAUAAUAUAAAGGGUUAAUUACCUGUGAGUGACACAUGUUUUAACAAAUUUCAAAAAGAUGAUACAUUUUUUAAAAAUAUUCGAGUGGGUGAUAUUCUAUUAACUUUUGCCGUUAAUUUUAAUGAGAAUAGUAAAUUAGUUACAAAAUGACAUGUCUACCCUUACAAUUAAUUAUAAAAAUGGCAUUCUUUCUCUUACAAUUAGUUACAAAAUGAUCUUUUUACCCCUACCAUUAGUUACAAAUGAUAUUUCUGCCCCUACUCACUUAUUUUUAAUUUUUUAAAUAGAAAAUUAUAUAAAAAAUUAAACGGAAGUCUAAUUAACAGGUAUUUUUUGGUUAAAUCAAAUAAUUUUUUUAAAAAAAAUUCUUGUUGAAUCAAACUGAUUUGUGAAUAUAAAAAAGUAGAAAUCUUAUGAAUUAUAAAGUAUUGUAUAAAUUCAAUAUUUUAAUCUCUUUGGCUUUAUUUUAAAAAAAAAAAUCUAUUUUUUCAAUUCUACCCUUGGUCGAUUAAAUUUAAUGGCAAGGAUAAACAAUGUCACACACUCGAGUGUUUUCAAAGCAUGUGUCACCUUUUAAAAAUUUGUCAAAACAUGUGUCAUCCAGGAGUAAUUGUUAUUAAUAAUAAUAGUAAUAAUAAUAGCAUUUCAAGAGGUGGUAAAGAAAAUUUUUCACUUUGGAACUUAAUACUGCAUUGGGAAAUAAGGAAAACAAGAAAAACUUGUUUCUCAUUUCCUUUGUUAAAAUGUGUAGAAUGAAUUUUAUAUUUUUAAAAAUGUUUUCAUAAACAAUCUACCGAGUACAUAUCUAAUAUUUUCUAAAUUCAAAAAAUAAAAAACAGGAUAUAAAAACAUUACCAAAACACCCAAUAUUUGCAUUACUGAUACACAAUUCCUACUUCCUAGUGACUUGUUGGUCAAAGUACCUUGACAAAAUUAAAUAUGAAGAGCAGUUCUUUUUUUCUUUUUUUUUUGUUUUUCGCCCGUUUAGACAAAUGGUUUUGUUUAAUACUAUGAGACGAAUAAAUAAAGUUUAAGAAAACAACUAAAAUAUUAUGAUUUUCUCUUUAUAUUAUCCAAGAAAUUUAAAGAUUAGAGAACCAAUAUCCAAAGAAAAAGAUGAAGUGAACAAACUCUUCCGCAGAAAAUCAUUAUUUUAGACAACAAGAAUUGCUGAAACGCUUUUUGAAUUGAUUAUGAUGAGCAAGACUUGCUGAGUGCUUUUUUAUUAUUAUUAUGUUUUUUGUUAGAUUAAUUGAAAUGCUUUUGCAAUCAACAUCAUAUUAUAUGAGAAAUAAAUUCAUAUCAUUCUAUUAUUAUUUAUGUUGACCAAAAUACUUAGACAAUUUGAUUUCAUGUCCGUUUUAUAAGUCUUAUAUUGGAUUUAUGAUUGAAUGCGCUAUAAUUAGUUUUUGUUUUAUGAAAUCUGAGUUUUUUAUUUUCAGGCUCAGGAAUAUGUAAUUUGAAGAAUCUUUUCGAGUUGGAUCUAAGCUCAAAUAACUUUAAGGGUCACCUUCUUCAGUGUCUCAACAACUUGACCCAUCUCAAAGUUCUUGAUAUUUCUACUAAUCAAUUAAGUGGAAACUUUCCUUCUUCGUUGACAAAUCUCACAUCACUUGAAUAUUUGGAUCUCUCUUUCAUCAGUUUCCAAGAAACAUUCUCAAUAAAUUCAUUGGCCAAUCAUUCAAAGCUUGAGGUCCUGCUACUCUCGUCAGGAAACGAUAUGUUGGAAGUGAAAACUGAAAACUGGCUCCCCACAUAUCCUCUCAAGGUUCUCCAAUUAUCUCACUGCCACUUAAAUGUCAAUCCCAGUUUUCUUUUACACCAACACCACUUAAAAUUCCUUGAUCUCUCUCAAAAUCAGUUGGUUGGCAAUUUCCCAACUUGGUUGUUGCAAAAUAACACAGGAUUAGAAGUUUUGAUUUUGCGGAAUAACUCAUUCUCAGGAAUUCUUCCCCGACUUCCCAAUGCCAAAUACGAUAACCUUCGUCAUCUAGACAUUUCCAUUAACAAUUUCUCUGGUAAGCUGCCAGAGAAUUUGGGUAUUGUCUUUCAAAAAUUGAUAUAUUUGGAUAUGUCAAAAAAUAGUUUUGAAGGUAAUAUUCCUUAUUCAAUCAGUGAGAUGAAAGAGCUAAUUACUUUGGAUUUGUCUAGAAAUAAUUUUUCAGGAGAAUUACCUCGACCUAUAGUCUCUAGUUGCCUCUCCUUAAAUAUAUUGGACCUAUCAAAUAACAAUUUCUAUGGCCAACUUUUUCCCAAUUAUAUGAACUUGACUCAUUUGCAUUCGUUACAUUUGGACAACAAUCAUUUCAGAGGGAAGAUAACAGAUGGUUUAUUGAGCUCCACUUUGCUAGAGGUAUUAGAUGUAUCCAACAACAUGUUAUCCGGUGAUUUUCCCCAUUGGAUUGGCAACUUCUCAAGCCUUUGGCUUCUUUUAAUGUCAGAAAAUUAUUUGCAAGGUAUUAUUCCGGUCCAGCUCAACAAUCUUGAAAUUCUUGAGUUUAUAGACAUCUCCGAAAAUAGUUUGUCUGGGUCCAUGCUAUCUCCCUCCAAUCUUACAAAUUUGAAGCACAUUUAUCUGGAUAACAAUGCAAUUAAUGGGUUAAUUCCAAUUGCAUUGCUUAGAAGCUCUACAUUAUUGACUCUAGAUUUGAGGGACAAUAAACUUUUUGGUAGGAUUCCUCAUCAGAUCAAUGAGCUUUCGAAUUUGCAUGUUCUUCUUUUGAGAGGGAAUUCUCUACAAGGACGUAUUCCUAAUCAAUUGUGCCAAUUAAGGAAAUUUGGUAUCAUGGAUCUUUCACAUAACAGACUUAAUGGACCAAUACCUUCAUGCCUGGAUAACAUGUCAUUCUGGAGAGAAGCGACUGAUGAUGAUUCGUAUGAAUAUGAAUCACUUCGUGCGUAUAUGUUUUUAAAUAGUGAUUCCCCUCUAAUUUAUUACAAUUCUACCCUUGAUCUGCAACCGCGAAUUGAACUGCAUCCUAAAAUAGAUAAACGAGUAGACGCGGAAUUUGCGACAAAGAAUAGAUAUGAAUUUUUCAUCGGUCGCAAUCUCAACUACAUGGCUGGACUGGAUUUGUCGAGCAAUGAGUUCAGUGGAGAAAUUCCAUGGGAAAUUGGGCAUCUUCAAAAUAUUCGUGCACUUAAUCUGUCCAAUAAUUUACUAUCAGGUGCUAUACCAGAGAGCUUCUCCAAUCUAAAAAUGAUAGAGAGCCUGGACAUUUCCUGCAACAAAUUAAGUGGCCGAAUUCCUCAACUAACUGAGCUCAACUUUUUAUCAAACUUCAACGUGUCAUACAACAAUUUGUCCGGCCCAAUCCCAGACAAAGAGCAGUUUGGCACGUUUGAUGACAGCAGUUAUAAAGGUAAUUCGGCUCUUUGUGGCUCAAUGAUAAAGAGGAAAUGCAGCAGUGCAUUGACACCACCAGCGACACCUGCAGGAGGAGGAGAUGAAGAGGAUUCUGUGAUUGAUAUGGUGGCAGUAAGAUGGAGUUUUGGAGCAUCCUAUGUGUCAGUGAUUUUGGGUUUAUUUGCAGCACUUUGGAUAAACUCGUACUGGCGCAAACUUUGGUUCUAUUUCAUUGAUAGAUGUAUUGACACAUGCUACUAUUGGCUUUUCAAAUAUGUUUUCCAUCGGUGAUUGUGUUUACCAGCAGAACUUAUUGUGCCGUGUUAUGUCUCCAUUGGCUUUUCUCCCAACAGCAAUGUAUCCAUGUUUGUGUUUGUUCAAAUUCUCAAUUUGGUUACUACACUCAUGUUUCCAAUUUCCUUUAAUUGGCUGCAUUAGGAUUAGACUUACGGCUUCUUCUUCAGUUUCUGUUGGUUGCAAAUUUAAAUUGAAUAAGGAAUUUUUCCAACUACUAUGUUUGUUGUAAUAUCAUUAGUGCAGCAACUUCAGCUGCAAAUGUAAGCUAUCAGUGGGUCAAUUCAACUCCAUUCCCAACGUAUUGUUCACACGCACUAACCAAAUACCAAAUAAUUUGAGGCAUAAUUAUCUACAAAUCUCAGUCUAAAACAUUAAAACCCAUUAUAGAACAGCAUCACAGAUUUCUUCAUGAGGAAAAUCGCCCAAUUAAUUUAUCAUCAUUUAUUGAUCAAAACAAAAUCUCUUAACAAAACAAGAAACCGAUUUGUACAAAUAUUAUAUUAGAACAUCUAGAGAGGAUAUCUAAAAUGAUACAAUCAAGUAUUGAUUAAAACUUGCUCCAAAUUUUAACCAUUUCUACAACGGUAACAUUCACUAACAAAUGUUUUGAAUAAACUUACUCAUAUUAUGUUAUAAACUUAUUCAUGUCAUACUUGUGUCAUUUUAACUUAUUUUUUUUGACACAUUUGUUAUUUUUAAAUUAAUUUUUAAUAUCUUCAAAAAAAAUAUUAAACAAGUCAACACGAUUAAUAUGUUUGUUUUGUGUUUUUGUUCUCUCUUCGUUUGUGUCUGUGUUUUCGUAAACUUUCUUUUGUUGUUGUUCUGUUGUGUGUAUGUAGUAAAUGUGUUUUAUAUUUUGUGUGUAGAUAUUGAUGUCUUAUUUUUCUUUGAAUUUGUGACAGUGGGAAAACUGAAUUUUUGCAGAUGAAGAGGCAACCGGUAGCAAAAAGAACCCGUACUCAAACAAAUCGUAUGAUUGAGGAGAAGUAUAAAAAACUUAAGGAAAAUAAAGGACAAGAAAAAUAUGGGACUGAAUCGUCUAGUUCUAAGGUUAAUGAAUCAUCCAGUUCUAAGGAUGAUGAAUGUGUCAAAGUAUUUGAAAUGGACAAUGUGAGUGACAAGGAGGAGAAGGAGGAGGGGACUAGAUCAAAACAAGUUAAUGAUGAUUGUGGUGGUUUUUUGUCAGAAUCAGAAAGUGACAAUGAUGGAAGUGAUCCUUUAAGGCCAAUUAUAGUGGAUUGUUGUCCUGAAGAAGAUUUGGAUUUAGAUGCAGAGAAUAGUAGUUUGGGGUCAAAGACAACUGAUGAGUAUGUAAUUAAUGAUGAUUACGUGGAUGAUGGUGAUGAUGACGGUGAGAAGGAGGAGGAGGAGGAGAGGGAAACUGAUGAUGAAAGUUUACUGGAAGCGCGUACGAAAAAUAAGGGGAAAUUAAAAAAGUCAACCAAGGGAAAGCACAACCGUGUGCUGAAACAUGAUCAUGUUGAAAGAAUUAUUCUGAAAUCCAUUUUGAAUACGGAAGAAACUCCCUCAGAAGAUUAUCCAUCUUCCAGCAGAGAGGUUUUAAGAGACGAGAUGAGUCAAUCAUUCAAUGAUGAUGAGGAGUCAACUUCAUCAGAGAAAUCAGAGUGUGAUGAUGGCUUGGGUUAUCUCUGGGCUGAGAUGGACUUUGCUCGCAAAGUCAGCGAGCUGCAUUCCGCUAACUCUCCCAUCGUAUCUCGAGUUUGUAAUUUGAUUGAGCACAAAAGCAUUAUAUUAGGAUUGUUUUUAUUGAUUUAAGUUUUUAUAUUCUUUCUUAGAUUGCAUUGUAACCUAUUAUUGUUUCCUGUUGGCUGCUUGACAAUGUUAUUCAUAAAUUACUCUGUGAACAAGUAUUGGCGAUUAGAUUUUAAGCAAUGUCAUUAUCAUCCUUAUUGUAAUUAAAAAGUAAAAAACAGGCUUACUCUUUUUUCUUUUUCAGGUGUAGGCUUUAGUUUAAAGGAUAUACAUGUUGAUUUAAUAGAUUUAAUUGAGGUUCCAACUUCAAAUUUAUAUGUCGUAGACAGAAGUGAAAUUGCUCUGUAGUAAUUAGUAUACCUAUUGCUCUUUAUUCUUUAAAUUACUUCUAAGUUUUAUGAACUUCUAUUUUACAUCAGAGGCUUAUGGAAUAAAUUGAUGAUGCAAGGGUCAAAUGCAUGACUUUGUUGCUGUACUAUAUUAUAUUGAUUCAUAUUCUUAAUUGUGAUCAUUUAGCAUGAAAAUAUGAUUGUUGAACUGAUGAGGCAUAUGCUAUAGUUAACAAAUUUAUGAUUGUUUUAGCUAAUCAAAUUCAUUAUAUUUUUGUUUAUUGUUAUUUGCAUUUAUGACAAAGAUGCUUGACUUUGUUGCUGCCCUAAAUUAUCUUUAUUCAUAUUCUUAAAUGUGAUUUUUAGUAAUAAAAAUAUGUUUGUUGUACCGUUAAGGUAUAUAUGUUCAUCAUUAGUGUUAACAAAUUUAUGAUUGUUUUAGCUGAUUAAGUCUAUUCCUCCAAUGACAAAAAUUGUUUUAGAUGUUAAUCAAGAUGAUAAUAUAUUUCCAUUUUUUUAAUUGCUUUAAACUAGAUAAAAUUUAAAUUAGAAGCACUGCUUUCUAUACAAAGUUUAGUACUUGAUAUACUCUAUCACCAAUUUCCGACAUAACCCGCUCAUUUCUUUCACUCUCUCUUAAUUCUAAAUCAUUUCUAUAAAAAAAUCAACAAUGAUAUUUAUCUUUAUUUCAAUAUUUAUAGUUCUGAAUGAAAUUUUUUUUUCUUCUUAGGCUCAUUAAUUCUUGAUGCAAGAUUAGCUAAAUUCAAAAGCUUGGAAGCAUUGAAUUUGAGUAAUAGUAACAUAAAAAAUUCUCUAGAAACCCAUAUUAAUCAAUUUACACUGUGUUUUUAUGUUGAAACAUGAUAAAUAAGAGCCCAAUAUUGUUUUCUAAUUGGUUUUUUUUUUACAAAAUAAAAAUGAAAAUGCUAUUUUUAAAUUUAUUUUUAAAAUUUAAAAAUGUGUUCAGUAUCAUUUUCAAAAAUAAUCUCAAAAAUGAGAAAAACAAAAAUAUGUUUGGUAAGAAUAUCUCAAAGAAUUAUUAUUGGAAUAAUUUCCAUAAACUUAAGAUUAAGCAAUGUAUAUUGAUUAUUUUAAUUUUAAGAAUAAAUUAGGUGAUCUUUCUAUUUUUUUGUUCAAAGAAAAAUGAUAAACCCUACAUAUUUGAUCUAGUUAAUAUAUAAAAACAUAAAUAUUAUAAUGUAUAUAAAAAGAAAAGUUUUUUGUGAGGGAAAUUGAUUCUUUGGGUACAACAACAACAACAACAAUAAGAAUAAUAAUCUCUAGGUGACAUAUGUUUUAACAAAUUUUAAGAAGAUGACAUAUUUUUUUAAAAUAUUCGAACGAUUGACAUUCUAUUAACUUUUGCCAUUAAUUUUAAUAAGAAUAGUAAAUUAAAUGAUGUUUCUACCCCACAAAAUGAUGUUUCUACCCAUACUCACUCAUUUUUAAUUUUUUAAAUAGAAAAAUAUAAAAAAAUUAAACAUAAGUCUAAUUAACAGGUUUUUUUUUGUAAAUCUAAUAACUUUUAAAAAAAUUCUUGUUGAUCAAACUGAUUUGUGAAUAUAAAGAAGCAAAAAUCUUAUGAAUUAUAAAGUAUUGUAUAAAUUCAAUAUUUUCAUCUCUUUGGCUUUAUGAAAAAAAAAUAUAUUUUUCCAAUUCUACCCUCGGCUGAUUAAAAUUAACAGCAAAAGUUAAUGGAAUGUCACCCACUCAAGUGUUUUCAAAACAUGCGUCAUCUUUUUGAAAUUUAUUAAAAUAUGUGUCACCCAGGGAUAAUUAAACCUAAUGAUGAUAAUAAUAAUAAUAAUAAUAAUGUUGAUAUUAUUAUUAUUUCAAGAGGAGAUAAAGAGAAUUCUUAAUUUUGGAACUUAAUAUUGUAUUGGAAAAUAAGGAAAAUAAGAAAAAGUCGUUUCUCAUUUCUUUUGUUAAAAUGUGUAGAAUGAAUUUUAUAUUUUAAAAAAUAUUUCAGAAACAAUCUACCGAACACGUAUCUAAUAUUUUCUAAAUUCAAAAAAUAAAAAACAGCAUAUAAAAACAAUGCCAACGCACCCAAUAUUUGCAUUACUGACACACAAUUCCUACUUCCCAGUGACUUGUUGGUCAAAGUACUUUGCCGAAAUUAAAUAUGAAGACCAGUUUUUUUUUUUUUCCGCUUGGGCAAAUAGUUUUGUUUAAUGCUAUGAGAAGAAUAAAUAAAGUUUAAGAAAACAACUAAUAGAUUAUGAGUUUCUCUUUACAUUAUCCAACAAAUUUAGAGAUUAGAGAACCAAUAUCCAACGAAAAACACGAAGUCAACAAACUCUUCCGCAGAAAAUCAUUAUUUUAAACAAUGACAAUUGCUUAAACGCUUUUUGAAUAGAUUAUGAUGAGCAAGAAUUGCUGACUGCUUUUAUAUUAUUAUUAUUAUUUUAUUGUUAGAUUAAUUGAAACGCUUUUGCAAUCAACAUCAUAUUAUAUGAGAAAUAAAUUCAUAUCAUUCUAUUAUUAUUUAUGUGUACCAAAAUACUUAGACAAUUUGAUUUCUUGUCCGUUUUAUAAGUCUUAUAUUGGGUUCAUGAUUGAAUGCACUAUAAUUAGUUUUCGUUUUAUGAAAUCUGAGCUUUUUAUUUUCACUUUCAGGAAUAUGUAAUUUGAAGAAUCUUCUUGAGUUGGAUUUAAGCUCAAAUAGCCUUGAGGGUCACCUUCCUCGGUGUCUCAACAACUUGACCCAUCUCAAAGUUCUUGAUAUUUCUUACAAUCAGUUAAGUGGAAACUUUCCUUCUGCCUUGACCAACCUCACAUCACUUGAAUAUUUGGAUCUCUUUUUCAUCGAUUUCCAAGGAACAUUCUCAAUAAAUUCAUUGGCUAAUCAUUCAAAGCUUGAGGUCUUGCGACUCUCGUCAGGAAACGAUAUGUUGCGAGUGAAAACCGAAAACUGGCUCCCCACAUAUCCUCUCAAGGUUCUCCAAUUAUCUCACUGCCACUUAAAUGUCAAUAAUAGUUUUCUUUUACACCAACACCACUUAAAAUUCCUUGAUCUCUCUCACAAUCAGUUGGUUGGCAAUUUCCCAACUUGGUUGUUGCAAAACAACACAGGAUUAGAAGUUUUGAUUUUGUGGAAUAACUCAUUCUCAGGAAUUCUUCCCCGACUUCCCAAUGCCAAAUACGAUAAGCUUCGUUAUCUAGAUAUUUUCACUAACAAUUUCUCUGGUACGGUACCAGAUAAUUUGGGUAUUGUCUUUCAGAAAUUGAUAUAUUUGGAUAUGUCAAAAAAUAGUUUUGAAGGUAAUAUUCCUUAUUCAAUCAGUGAGAUGAAAGAGCUAAGUACUUUGGAUUUGUCUAGAAAUAAUUUUUCAGGAGAAUUACCUCGAUCUAUACUCUCUAGUUGCCUCUCCUUAGAAAUGUUGGACCUAUCAAAUAACAAGUUCUAUGGCCAACUUUUUCCCAAUUUUAUGAACUUGACUCAGUUGAGUUCCUUACUUUUGGACAACAAUCAUUUCAGUGGGAAGAUGACAGAUGGUUUGUUGAGCUCGCCUUUGCUGGGGAUAUUAGAUGUAUCCAACAACAAGUUAUCCGGCGAUAUUCCCCACUGGAUUGGCAACUUCUCACACCUUUGGCUUCUUUUAAUGUCAGAAAAUUAUUUUCAAGGUAGUAUUCCGGUCCAGCUCGGCAAUCUUGAAAGUCUUGGGUUUAUAGACAUCUCCGAAAAUAGUUUGUCUGGGUCCAUGGUAUCUCUCUCCAGUCUUUCAUCAGUGGAGCACAUUUAUCUGCAUAACAAUGCAAUUAAUGGGUUAAUUCCAAUUGCAUUGCUUAGAAGCUCUACAUUAUUGACUCUCGAUUUGAGGGACAAUAAACUUUUUGGUAGGAUUCCUCAUCAGAUCAAUGAGCUUUCGAAUUUGCAUGUUCUUCUUUUGAGAGGGAAUUAUCUACAAGGACGUAUUCCUAAUCAGUUGUGCCAAUUAAGAAAAUUAGGUAUCAUGGAUCUUUCACAUAACAGACUUAAUGGGCCGAUACCUUCAUGCUUGGGUAACGUGUCAUUCUGGAGAGAAGCGAUUGAUGAUUAUUCAUAUGAUUCCACUCUUGAUCGGCAGCCGCAAGGUAAACCACAUGGUGGAAUAGAUCAAAAAGUAGGUGUAGAAUUUGUGACAAAGUAUAGAUAUGAAUUUUUCAUCGGUCUCAAUCUCGUCGACAUGGCUGGAUUGGAUUUGUCGAGCAAUGAGUUCAGUGGAGAAAUUCCAUGGGAAAUUGGGCAUCUUCAACAUAUUCGUGCACUUAAUCUGUCGAAUAAUUUACUAUCAGGUGCUAUACCAGAGAGCUUCUCCAAUCUGAAAAUGAUAGAGAGCCUGGACCUUUCCCGCAACAAAUUAAGUGGCCGAAUUCCUCCUCAACUAACUGAGCUCAACUUUUUGUCAAACUUCAACGUGUCAUACAACAAUUUGUCCGGCCCAAUCCCAGACAAAGAGCAGUUUGCCACCUUUGAUGACAGCAGUUAUGAAGGUAAUUCGGCUCUUUGUGGCUCAAUGAUAAAGAGGAAAUGCAGCAGUGCGUUGGCACCACCAGCGACACCUACAGGAGGAGGAGAAGAUGAAGGCGAUUCUGUGAUUGAUAUGGUGGCAUUAAGAUGGAGUUUUGGAGCAUCCUAUGUGUCAGUGAUUUUGGGCUUCUUUGCAGCACUUUGGAUAAACUCGUACUGGCGCAGACUGUGAUUCUAUUUCAUUGAUAGAUGUAUUGACACGUGCUACUAUUGGCUUUUCAAAUACGGUUCUGCCGUGUAUAACUUAUCGUGAUGUAUUAUGUAUCCGUUGGCUUUUCUCCAAACAGCUACGUAUCCAUGUAUGUGUUUGUUCAAAUUCUCAAUCUGGUUCCAAAACUACACUCAUGUUUCCAAUUUCGUUUAAUUGGUUGCAUUAUGAUUAGACUUACGGCUUCUUCUUCAGUUUCUGUUGGUUGCAAAUUUAAAUUUAAUAAGGAAUUUUGCCAUCUAGUACGUUAGUUGUAAUAUCAUCAGUGCAGCAACUUCAACUGCAAAUCUAAGCUAUCAGUAGGUCAAUUCAACUCCAUUCCGAAUGUAUUGUUCACACGCACCAACCAAAUACCAAAUAAUUUGAGGCAUAAUUAACAACAAAUCCCAGUCUAAAACAUUAAAACCCAUUAUAGAAUAACAUCACAGAUCUCUUGAUGAGGAAAAUCGCCCAAUUAAUUUAUCAUCAUUUAUUGACCAAAACAAAAUCUCUUAACAAAACAAGAAACCGAUUUGUACAAAUAUUAUAUUAGAACAUCCAGAAAGGAUAUCUAAAAUGAUACAAUCAGGUAUUGAUUAAAACUUGCCCCAAAUUUUAACUAUUUCUACAACGGUAACAUUCACUAACAAAUUUUUCGAAUAAAAUUGGGAGAAAUAGGACGGCACCUUUGCAUUUUAUUGCUUUGCUCUCUCUUUUAACGAACAGAAGCACAGAUGGAUUGAUGAUUGUACAUCUCAGUUACCCCAUUUGUGAUCUGCUGUCGGUUUCUUCUCCGUUUUCUGACAACUAUAAAUCCUUCACCAUUCCCAUUUUUUUGGUUUGCAUCUUUGGGUUUUUUCUGUUCUUGAUCAUUGGACUGAGAUGCCAAGUUUGUUUUGCCCUUUUCAUUUCCAUAAAGGAUCUUUAUGAUAGCACUAUCAUUUGCAAUUGCAUCUGAAGAAUUUUCUGAAUACCAAUCUCCUUUUCAUAGCCUGAAGAUUGACUUGGAGCAUCCAUAUUAUGCUGGACUGACUUUACAAUGAAGCUAAGUAGUAUCUGUCUUGCCAGCUCUGACUUCUCGGCCUCUGUACUGCUCUUCCUUGAGGUAUUAUCUUCGCCUUGAAUACUGGACAUUUUGUCAAGCUUCUCAUCUUCUGCCUCACUUGUGUCAUUUGAAGAGUUCGACUCAUUUGAAACAUUUGAAUCUGCACUUCCAGGAUUUAUUUGCCAACCUCUCAUUGGCACAAACUUGGGUGCAUGCGGGUUCAUGAUUCUUGAAGGCCCCAACAGGUUUCUUUCCAUAAUGGAAGAGUGGUAUUUUGGAAAUCCAUGUUUCAUCAUGUAAGAAUAAUUAUUUCUAUAAUAGAGAGGCGACCUUGGCCCACAAGGAACUCUAGCAGCAGCCGAAGGUACAGCAGGUUCUGCAAGCAUACCUUGACUAGUUCUCGCAUCAUAAAUACUCGUGGCUGCUACAGAGUUUAGCAGAUGAGUCAUGGAGACAGAUCCUGGGUUGAAUGGUUCAGCUGUGGCAGAAAGCUUACUCCCAUUUGUUUCCAUGGGCUUUUCCUCGUUAGAAGAAGAAGGAACUUCCUUGGUAUCUGCAGCAGUAGUUUCAGAUUGAGUUACACUUCCAUGAGUUUCUUGAGACUGACCAUCAACUGGCGCAUCUUCAACUGGAGAGAAAUGGUUAUUCAACUCCGCCUUUGAUGUCUCAGGAGCAUUCCUGCACAUCUGCGUUUCAGUUUUUUCUUCAAUUUCUUCAUCAGGUUUCUCUGGUAAUGGCUUUAGAACCGUACCUGGUGGUGCCACAGAUACUUCUUUGUAAGACAGCGACUUGGAAGCCAUGGCAGUAAGGUUUGGUGGACUUGCAUAAACUUUGGAGACAGAAGCUUUUGCCUGCAGUUUAAUUGAAUCCUUUAUGCCUGUUAACUCAGUGGUGGUGGUCCUUGAAGCUUUUUCCCGUACUGGAGAAACAAUUUCCUGUCUAUUGCCUUUUUCUCUAAGAUUUGAAUGUUCACAACCAUUGACAUUUAGCUUUGUAAGAACAGGUCGCCUCCGGCUGAGCUUCCGAACAGCAGCAUUUCCUGACCUACCUUUUGGAUUGGCUUCUUGCCACCCCUCAUCUGAAUUUGUUUCUUCCACAAACUCACCUGAAAUUGCCGGUCCAUAUCUAGUAAUAUCAUCGUUCUCUUCUGGCUCUUCAGGUUCAACACGGUCUUCUAUUACCUCCUCGGUCUUGCUUUCCACUAUAGUCAUACUUUUUUUCAAUCCAUCAUUGGGCAGUGCAUCUUCCACCAUCAUAUCAUGAUGUACUCCAUGAAUCUUUUCCCUAAUCUGCAUUACCUGAAAAAAAUAAAUAAACCAAAAAAAGAAAACAAAACCUUUUUAACUUGUAUGCAUAUAAAAUGUCAAAAAUUGAGCCAAUAGAAAUAUUUCAUUUUAAGUUACAAUCAUCUUGUAAUUUUACAGUAGCAAAAUUUAUUACAACAAAUCCAGACAUAACAUGAGGCAGAAUUCAGUGGAACAUAAAUGGGAAUUUGAUAUGUACAUGCCUGAAAUGUUGAAAAAAACACUCAGUGAGAAAUUAUGCUAAUAUAUAUUAUGUUAAACUAAUGAAAUUCUUCAGCCUUUUGAAUCAUGGAAUUCUCAAAAAAAAUAAUCACAGCGAAAUACUUUACUAUUGUCUUAAAUUGUCAACCAGGUAAUACUUCAAAUUAGCACAUAAUAAUCCUGUCUUUCUAAUAUGUAGUAUUAUUUGGUUCUCUAAGGCCUACAAAAUGGGGAAAAAAAAAAGGGAAAAACUCCAACUGCCAAAUCGAAAAAUGUUUUUCUAGAAUCAAUAAUAACAACCAUUAAAUAACAGUAGAAUGGAAGAACUCCAUCUCCUAGCCAAAAUGAUAGAUCUGUCAUAUCCAUCCAUUGCACUUCAAAUUAAUGGUUUCUUCUCACUCUGUUCAAGGUUACGGGGUAAAACAAAAACUAUCACUCGUUCUGCUCAUCAUCUCUGAAUUUCUAAAGAACUAGCAGCUUGACCAAGCAACCCUCCAUCAUUGCCUACCAACUAUCAGCUGGCCCAAUCUAUGGCCAUCAAUAGAUCAGAACCUUCUAAAGUUUCAAUCAUGUCUGUGAUCUAUACAAGCAUGUUAGAUUUCUUUUUGUUGUUUGGGGGGGGGGGGGGGGAGUGUGAUUCUAUGCUAGAAAUGGAUGUUUAUAUUUGGUGCCUUCAGAGUUCACUCAGAAAAGUAGAACUAUUAUCCAGCAAUAGUUAGUUGCAUUUUGCAUGGACAACAAGUUUACUCGUGUAAUCAGCAAAUCCAAAACUAUAUGCCAGCAGAGUGUACUCUAAAAUACCAAAUCCUAACUAAAAUUAGUUUAAGAAUCCAUUCAGAUGGACAUCACAAGAAAAAAGGAACAGAGAACAGCAGCAUGCUUAAUGCUUCAUUUCACAUAGCUUUUCAAAUAGAUCUUAUUUGAGUAGAGUUCUGCUAGUAAAGAUUUUAUAAGUAAAGUUUUUACUCAAAAAAAUUGUGUUGUUUGGUUGUCAAUAAGAGCUUUUAUUAAAAAUUAUAAAAUUACUUUAAUAAGCAAAUUUUUUAAAGUUAUGUUUUGAAAAGAAAAAAAUAAGAUUGUCAUAUAAAUAGAGAAUAUUUUAGAUAUUUUAACAUUUAAAAAAAAAAUUUAACCUCUAUUCUCAAAAGCACAAAAUUUGAGCUUUUUAUAGUAGAGGCAAAAUAAAUUAUUUAAUUUUCAUGAGCUCUACUAAAAAAACAAUUAAACAACAAAAAAAAUUUUGAUAAGAGCUUAUAGGAUUAAAUAAAAUUUUAAGACCAUUAGAUAAGUCAUACCAAACAGGCACUAAGUAUGUACUACCUUUGCACGUCGUUGUUUCCUAUGUGCUUCGCUUCUUUUAGAAUCUUGACCAGGACUUAUGUAAUCCAGGAGAUCUGAUACACUGCGAAAAGCGAUCAUUAUAGGUCUUGGUGCCACAAGAAAUAAUCAACAAUUUAGAAACAAGUAAUGUGGGAAUACCCUGUUAAUACCUAAGGUGACCUUUACUCGCAAUGGACGCAUCUGGAUUUGGAGUUCCAUUCCGUGCCGCUUCUUGCUGCUCUAGAGCUCUUGAUUCAAAAUACUCCAGCCAUGCAGCAGCAUCCUGUAAAACAAAAAACAAAAUACAACAAAAUAACAAAAAUCUCUUCCCAUCAAUAAUAUGGAACUUGAGAAAUUCUCUCAUGACAGUUAAGAUUAGAGGUAGCAAAAUGGAUUACGACACAAUUACACAAUAUAAUACGACAUAUGACCCAUAUUUGUGUUAACAAAUAUUGACACGAUUAAUAAAUGAGUUGACACGACACGAUAAAUAACCAUGUCGUAUCUGUUUUGGACCAUCUCAACAUGAUUAUACGUUUAUAACAUAAAUAUCAAUUAUUAUGUGUUAAUAUUAUUGGAAAAAAACUAAAAUAUAUACUAAUCACCAAAUUAAUGACUCAUGUCAUAGUCAUAUUAUGUUAUAAACUUAUUCAUGUCAUACUUAUGUCAUUUUAACUUAUUUAUAACUUAUUUUUUUGACACAUUUGUUAUUUUUAAAUUAAUUUUUAAUUUGUUUGUAUUUAAUAUUAAACAAGUCAACACGAUUAAUAAACGGGUCAUAUCCGUAUUUUGAUAUUUCGAUACGAUUAAUGAAUGGGUCAUAUCCAUACUUAACACCAAAAUAGGCCGCCGAUACAAUUUGUUUUAUAUCAUAAUAUCACCUGUAAAAGAUUGACAAGAGAGAAGCCAACUAGCCAAAUUGCACAACAGAACCAAUUAAAAUAUGACUACAUGUAGUCACCUGAGUACGCAGAUCUUCUAGUCCAAGCUUUGCUUGGAGAAUCUUAAGUGUAGUUUGCUCAUGUUGCACACUUAGUGAAUAUGCCUCCAUCAAAGAAAGAGCUAUGGCUAUGGCAUGAUAACUUGCAGCUGUCUGUCACGUGAAGAAAUCAAACAAAAUGCUGAGUUUACAGAAAGAUUUAUAAGUCUAAAGAGCGUGUAUACAUGCGUAAAUAGAGAGAGAAAAAUCUGUAUAUGGUCACCUCCUAAUAGUCUUUGGUUGCAUUUAAUGGCCUCAUGCAAAUAUCUAAGAGAAAGAUGAACAUUUCCCAUGCCCUCUUCCAUCAUAGCCACAUUUAUGUAUGUUGCAGCAGUGUUUGGAUGUGAAAGUCCACAAGUAAAAUGCGAAAGGAAUAAGGCACGAUUUACAUAUCUGCCAAUAGUAUGGUAUGAUCAGGAGCUAGAGCCAAUAAAAGACAAAUAAAAGCUAAAGUAGGUAGAUAAAAACUGCAUUAGUUCAAAGCAGAUUCAAUACAAAGGUCUCAUUUUUCGAAACUUCCAAUUUAAUUUAUGAAUAAAUAAACCUUAAUCAGUUAAAGAAUGAAAACAAAGUUGCUCCGGUAAAUCAAGUAGUGCUACUCACUUAAGAGCCAAUUCAAUGUGUUGAAGGCGAUAAUAGAAAAUUGAAAGAUCCCCGUAGCUUUUCAUUGUAUCUGGGUGGUCGAGACCAAGUUCCCUCUCAUUAAUAUCCAAUGCCUUCUGCUGAUAUAUAGUUGCCUAAAAUGAAGAAGAAGAUAUCUUGAGUACAUACGAACACUACUCUAACACUCAGACGCAGAUGCCAUUAGACGAAAUGCCGGAACAUAAGAAUCAUGAACGUGUUUGAUUUAGUUAAAAUAUAUAAUCUGAUAUCAAAAUUAUGCUAAUGCCUGUACAUGUAAUUCCUAAGUCCAGAAAAUUAUAAUUCCUAAUGCAUAUCUUUAUACAAGACCAUAAAAACUAACCAUAACACACAAAAAUUCAAAUCAAAUGUCCCGAUGAAUGAGAACCUCCGUACAGAAGGACGUUAUAAUUAUACUAGACUUAGAAUCACCAAGUUAACACUGAAAUACAACUGAAGAUUGUCCUACCUGAUUAAAGUCUCCAGUAUAGUAGAGAACUACAGCUAGAAGACUGUAAGCACUUGCAGUAGUCCGAUGGUCGGGACCACAAACAGCUAUCAUCCUUGCCAGUGCCUUACAAUGCAAGUAAUACAUCAUAUGAGAUCAAGAGAUGCCUUAUUAUGAAAAGAAUAAUGUAAUUCUUACGUAUAGAUCGAGUGGGUUAUUACCUUUGUCCCAUAAUUUACAGCAUCUUCUAGUUUUCCUCUAUCAAGGGCAAUUUUGGAUGACUCUAAUAAGGUCCGUCCAUCGGCUGAAGUGCAACCUACAUGCUGUAGAAUGCCAUAAAAGUAGCACAAUUACAUUCAAUUUACAAAUGAGUGACUCAUUGAGAAUGUAAAAACUAAAUCAAAACACAAUUAAGAGAGAAAAUAGUCUCACCUUGCACACAGGAACCAUGCUGACAAUAUCAUCUCUCGUGAAUGGGUUUGGGCAUUCCAUAUAAUAAUCUCUGGGAACCAACACCAACCCAACCUGGGUGAAGUUUACAAGCAAAAUUCAAGCUUUGAAAAUAAUCGGCUGCCAAAGGAACCGAAAAGACAGAACCUUAUAUGGCAAAGCCCACGUAGAAUUGAAAUCUUUCUCAAAUGCUGAAACUCAUCUUUCAGGGACCAACCAAAUCUUCUGCCAAGAAAUGUUCAUAGCCACUGCAAUCUGAGGAUAUGAUCUUCAUUCAAGCUUUGGUCAUCUUCCAUCUCACAACAGCCAAAUAAUAAAUUUAGGGAAGAAGCUAUAGCUGCAGAUAGGUCUGAUAAAUAGUCAACAGAUGCGAUGACUCCUUUAAGUAUAUGCUUGAACGCUCGAGUAACCAUCUCAUGAAUACAAAGUGAUUGUAUGUGAGGAAGCUUCUCUGCAAGUUCAACCUGAAUUUGUAAAUGGGAUUAGAACCAACAGAAGAAGAAUACCAGGCUUUCAAGUAUUAGCAUGUCAAUUUCUCAAAAUAUUGUAUGUCAUACAACAUACAGUAAUAUCUAAAGACGACAAUAAUUCAAUGUCUUGGAAAAGGUCAAAAAUGUCAAAAAUUCUAUCAUGUAGUACAAUUUUCAAAAAGGAACAUUGAUAAUUCAAUCCAGGAAGACUUGGGGGGAUUGUUUACAUAUAGAAAGAUAACUUGGGGGCUUUGUUUACAUAAAGAAAGACAACCUUUGCUUAUUCCGAUUUCCAUGGGUGAAUAGGUUGCAUGUCUGAGAGAGAAAGAGAGGGAGAAAUUCCUCAGCACGCGACCUAAAGAGCGCAUUUGUAGUCCCCUUAAAUGCAUAAAGUCUGUCAGUGUCGGCCAUCAACCGGAGAAAGUUCAAGUGAUCCAAAGUCUGUUACCUAAUAAAGAAUGGAAAUUAGUCCAUAAACCAUCCCCACACGUCUAAAUUGGCUGCAACAAAGGCCCUAAAUAAAUUAAAUAGUACCAGCUUUGGUAAAGCAAUGUCAUCAUAAUACUUGUAUGUCAUUUUCAUAAGCUCAUCCACUGCCUGCACAAUAAAUUAAUUUUACCAGUCAUUCCAUAUGAAAAUAAAACAAACCAAAUUUAGCGUAAUGAAAACACAAAAAGUAGCAAACUUUACAGUUGAAAUGCAAAACAAAUUUGAGAUUCUGAAACCUUUGAAUGAAGACUAGUGCCAGUUUCUUUCAAUCGCAAGAAGGAUUCUUCAGAAAUUAGUUUUUUUCAAUUCCAUCUCACAAUUCAGCUCGCCAUUGCUUUGCUGUCUACCAUUACCUCCCACAUUCACGCUGCACGGUCCAUUGUCAUUUUCGUUAGCCUCAUUAAUGCUACCAAUAAGGUUAGGUCUGUUCUCCCUCUUCUUCAAAAAUUUAAAUUGCUUCCCAAGACCUUUGACAGCAUGUUCAGUCUCAAUAUCAUCCCCAGACCUCGUUGACUUGGUAUCUGUUGGAGUUUCC
This 64310-nucleotide long non-coding RNA is filed under the name Citrus maxima (pomelo). RNAcentral describes it as "long non-coding RNA (CMAX_LNC000296)". Lineage: Eukaryota; Viridiplantae; Streptophyta; Magnoliopsida; Sapindales; Rutaceae. The record is from RNAcentral.